RNAcentral lists this long non-coding RNA (48556 nucleotides) under Gossypium raimondii (Peruvian cotton). Its description in RNAcentral is "long non-coding RNA (GRAI_LNC008642)". Lineage: Eukaryota; Viridiplantae; Streptophyta; Magnoliopsida; Malvales; Malvaceae. The record is from RNAcentral.
GGGGCUAGAACGGACUUACAAUCAAGCUUGGAAGCUUGAAAAACCCUAGACAUGGUUUCUCCAUGCAAUUUUCGGCCUAGGGGUUGAAGAUGGACAAAAAUUGGCUUUUAAUUUUGUUUUUAAUUCAUUUUAACAACUAAAUGACCCAAAUGCCCUUAAUGGAAAACUUUGGAAACAUGCCUAACCAUGUCCAUUUUUGUCCACCAACUUAACGAAUGGUAUAAUUACCAUAUAAGGACCUCCAAUUUCAAAUUUCAUAACAAUUGGACACCUCUAACAUGUAGAUCUCAACUUUUACACUUUUUACAAUUUAGUCCUUUUGACUAAAUUGAGUGCCCAAAUGUCGAAAUUUUCGAACGAAAUUUUCACGAAAUCAUUUUGAGAAAUAUUAGACCAUAAAAAUAUAAUAAAAAUAAAUUUUAUUCUCAUUGGAUUUGUUGUCCCGAAACUACUGUUCCAAUUAGGCCCAAAAUCUAGCUGUUACAUGGCAUACCAUCCUCCUCUAAAGCCUUCGUGGGAUACAUACUCUUUACCGCCAUACCAAUCUCUUCUUCAGUAAAACGGGACCACAAAAAAUCAUGCAUGCCAUCAGUAACAUAAACCAGGAUUCCCUUCAAAAGCCUUGUACUAUCCCCUACCCCUCGAAGUAAACAGAUCUGUAAAAUAACUACAUGCAAUCUCCUCAUUUCCCACUCUCACUCGUCCUUCUUCACCUUUAAGCUGCCCACACAUUUAAUCUUCUUGUGUUGAGAAGCUAUUCUAUGAAAAAACCUCAUGUUACGAUCCCCGCUUCUCAAUCAAUUAGCCCUUGCUCUCUAUUCCCAAUAACGCUCUCAUUUGUCGAACUCCAAAUUAAGUUGCAUUUUCGUGAUAACUAGUUCCUCCAAAGUUUUAUUAUUCGGAUAUGAAUUGUAACACCCCUAACCCGUAUCCGUCGCUAAAAUAGGGUUACGGAGCAUUACCGUAAAAACAUAACUUAAAAAUAUUCAUUUUCAAGAAUUUCAUAAAUAAUAGCAUAAUCUAUUCAAACACGUGCAUAUCGUCCCUUGUUCGAGCCAUUGAGACCUUAGAAACACUUUAGAAAUGAUUCAGGACUAAAUCAGAAUCAUAUGAAACCUUAAGGAAAAAGUUAGGAAAAUUCACACUGCAGGGGUCACACGGCUGAGACACACGCUCGUGUCUCAAGCCGUGUAACAUUAGAAAUAGGAACACACGACCGUGUCCCAGCCCGUGCAUGUGCCUGUGUAACUCUCUGACUUGGGUCACAUGGCCAAGACACACGCCCAUGUGCCAGGCCGUGUAACUUUCGAAAUGACCUCACACGCCCGUGUGCCAGACCGUGUGCUAGGUCAUGUAACUGCCUGACUUGGAACCCUUUAAAACCUAUAGGGGACCCACGGUUGAGACACACGCCCGUGUCUUAGGCCGUGUGGACAAGAAAUUGGCCAAAAUCAAGUCAUUUCUUUCACCCAUUUCCAACAAGUACCUACAAGCCAUAUGCACCUAUGAACAAGGUACCAAAACAUGCCAAAUCAUACAUAAUAUGGCCAUUUCAACAUACAAACAAUUCAUUCAACCAAUAUGCCAAUAAGGCACCUCAAACAUAAUUCAUUCAGAUCUACUUAAACAUAUGCAUAUUUUAGCCAUUCAUCAACCACUCACAUCUAAUCUAUUUCCAUACAAAACUUACCACAAUUGACCACAUAUCAAAUCACAACCUAACAUACCAAAUUGGUUAUUCAAAACAUACAUUCACUUAGCCAUAUCAACACCAACAAUCAAAGCAGCAAAGUGCCAAAAGCACACCAACCAUAAUACCAUAUAUACAUGCCAAACAUAUCAACUAGAUCAUCAAACACUAGUCCACCUAUACAUGCCAUUAUAACUAUGACCAAAAUAUCAAAAUCUACCGAUAUAAUCUCCGGAUAGUGUGAUAGGUCACUGACGAGCUUCCGAUAAUCUAUAAAACAUAGGAAAGAAAAGCAACGUAAGCAUAUAAUGCUUAGUAAGUUCGUAAAUCAUGAACAUAGCUUACUAUUUCCAAGCAAAAUAUUAUAAAAUAGACAUGGCACAAGCCUAAGCAUCAUCAACAACACAAGUUAGUGCUUAAACACAUAACUUAACAAAUUCAUCACAUGGUAAGAUAGAUUUUAUGAACAUAGCACAUUUGAAUUCAUAAUUUUUAUAAACAUGGUUAUACAUAAUUUGAUCAUGAACAAUUAUACCUUUCCAUAAGUUCUUAACUUAGCUAUUGGAGCACUUACUAUUCAUUCCUUUUUCAUACCCGUUGAACCACUUAGAAUAAUAUCGGAUACACGAGACGCUCACAUAAAGUGUGUUAAACAUAUGGUGGAAAUCAUUCAUUUUUCUUUCCCUUUACAUCGAUGCUCACUCGAGCCAAAAAUAGGUCUGCUCACACAAGCUGACAGUCAGAAUGUAGCUACAUGAUGCCGCUCACACAAGCUGAUGAGUAUCCACAACAAAUGUCAAAACUCAUCCAUCAGCAGAACAUUCAGCAGCAACACCCAAAACAUGGUAACCCUAAUGACAUGUCAUUUGUAUCCUAUAUAUUCUUAAGGUUCAAACGAGGCUCGAUAGUCGUCAUAACAUUGUUGGAUUUUCAUUGUAACAUGACAUGAUAACUAACAUAAUAGCAUGUAAAUCAAAUAACAUUAAAACGUUAUUUAAACAUACAAACUUAACUCGAUUUUAAAGAUGUCGAAAUAUGAUCACUAAUCUAAGACUUUAUCUUUUCCCCAAUCUGGAUCCGUACAAUGCUUAAAUUGAUCUAAAUAAGCAAUUUUAAUCCAUUUAAUAUUCAUUCUAUUUAAUUCAGUCCAAAAUUUAUACUGUUAAAAAAUUACAUUUUCCCCUAAUGUUUUAACUUCUUUACAAUUUAGUUUUUAAGCUCGUAAAUUAACAUUUAUGCAAUUUCAUCCAUAUAUCAUGCUUGCCGAUUUACCUAGGGACUCAUAUCAACCCACACAAAUCAUCAAUUCACAAUUUUAUCAUGAUAUUUUACUACUUUUACAUAUAGGUCCCUAUAUGAUAAUUUCAUAAAAAAUCACUUCACAAAAGUUGUUUAUUUAACAGCAAGGACUUAUAAUCUUUCAUAAAUUUUCAAGAAUCAUGCAAACAUGUUCAUGGAAAAAUCCUAAACCUUUAAAUGUUUUGCAAAUUAGUCCAUGAGCUAGUUAGAUUAAGCUACAAUGAUCUCGAAAACAUAAGAAUCAUUAAAAAAAAGAAACAAAAUUAUACUCACAUGCAAGCAAAGACUUGGCUGAACCUUGAAACUUAAUUUUCGAUAAUUAUACUCACAUUCUAAGCUUAAUUUUCGAUGGAUGAAAGCAUUUUUGAAAGAUGACAUUUUGUUAUUCUUCAUUUUACUUAACUUAUUUAUUAAUUUACUUUAUUAACCUUUAACUUUUAACUUAAAAAUCAUUUAAUUCAUGCCCAUAAAUGUCCACUCAUAAUAAUAAUGGUCUAGUUACCAUAUAAAUCCCUUAAAAAUUUAAUUUCAUAGCUAAUAGACACCUUUAACUAAUGGAACUAUACUUUUUCACCUUUUACAAUUUAGUCCUUUUUACUUAAUUAAGCAUGCAAACGUUAAAAUUUCUUUAUGAAAUUUUUAUACGACACUACUAACAUACCGUAGACAUUAAAAUAAUAGAAUAAAUAUUUUUAUGUUAUAUUUGUAGUCCUGAAACUACUAUUUUGAUUUUACUGAAAACGGGCUAUUAUAUAAAUUAUUUAACUCAUCAAGCUUCUGCCGUAAUAUGUCCAUGGUCAUUUGUGACAACCUUUGAGUCUCUAGAGCCCAAUUCAUUAAGCCACAUCUUACUUAUUGAAUUUGAUCAGGUAUCUACCCAUUCGAAUUGUUCCAUAAUUAUCUAACUUCUCAUUCACAAGACUCCUUAAGCAAACAUGUAACCUUAAACUGAAACACACACACCCUCUAUUCCUAUCAAUCAACCCACUUAUAGGUAUUAACCAAAAGUGGGAAAUGGUCUGAUAUUGAAUGCACACAAUGCUGAAGACAAUAGUUAGGAAAUAAGUCCUUCCAUCCCGGUGUUGUCACACCCUAUCAAGCCUUUCCUAGAUAUUAUUGUGAACCAAUCUCCCUUGAUCCCAUGUAAACCAUUGGCUUUCAUAUCCCAAAUCCACCAAUUCACAAUCCUCAAGAGCCGACCUAAAAGCCAUCACACUUUGCUCAUCACUCAACCUUCCCCAUUGCUUCUCAUGAGAAUACAUAAUCUCAUUGAAAUCUCCCAUAGUCAGCUACAAUUUCGCACAUUCAAUUGAGAGAUCUCGUAAAUGAUCCCAUGAAUGGUGUUUCAAAUUCUUUACCGGAUGCUUGUAAAACCUAAUAAACCUCUAAUUAGCACAUUUUGUUUCUCAUUCAAUACUAACAUCAAUAUGGCUUAACGAAAAGCUUCGAAGAACCACCCUAGUUCCUUACUUCCAUUCUAAAGAGAAUCCCCCAUUGUGCCAUCACUACUGCCAUCAAUUCCUCCAUCAAGCAUCAACUUCUGUGAACUCUCUCCAUCUUUGAACUAUGCAGCUUCAUUUCCAUGAAAAAAGCUAUAUUGGGAUUAAUUUUCCUCAGCACCUGUCGAAUACGACAUCUUGCCCAAGGGCUUUCCAUUUCCCGGACAUUCCAGCAUAAGAUUUUCGUUACAUCCGAUUACCUUACCCUGCAGAGCCAACCGGCAUCUCAGAAUCAUGAACAAAGACAUGUCCAUCAGUAGUUUCCCCGAAUCCAUUCUACUAGAAACUAAAGAAAAUUGAGUACUACGAGGCCUCUUCUUCCCUUCUCCAGUCUCCAUUGGACAAUCCUCUUCUAUCAACUCCUUAUUCGGAUCAAGAUUCUCCAAAUCCCCAAACUCAAAACUUAAUUUUCCCCUAUAUUCAAUCCUAAAUUAGCCCUCGCUUGCCUUAAAAAAUUGUGUUUCGAAACAACCAUUGUACUACACCAUGCUCCCCGUCCUAACCGUUACCUAGUGUUUUCUUCAAUUCACCCAGGUGUGGCCCCUUCCCCUGAUCCCUUAACCAUGGACUCGACGCAACCAUCGCCCAUUUAGGGAUCACUUUAAUAGAUAGGUCCCAUUCAAACUCUAACUUUUUUUCCAUGAAAUUCUGUACAGCUUCGAAAAAAAAGGAGGUAUACCUCGUGAAGAAGGAAGAAUGGAAGUUUUUCGAAAGACAUUGGAGGAAUGUAAUCUAUCAGAUAUUGGGUUUUUUGGAAACUGGUUCACAUGGGAACGGGGGCAUUUACCUAAAACUAAUAUUCAAGAAUGGUUAGAUAGAACGGUGGCGACAGAAGAAUGGUUACAAAUUUUUCCUGAAUUCCAGAUUCAGCAUCUCCCGCACACGUUUUCUGAUCAUUGUCCUUUACUGGUUAACACCAAAAAGGAAAGAAGAGAGAGAACACAAAAAAAUUUCAAGUUUGAAGCAUGGUGGGAUUUAGAGGAGUCGUUUUUUGAUGAGGUCAAAACCAUCUGGGAACAAUCUGAGGGUGAUUUCUUAUUCAAGCUAAACAGUAUGAAAAGGGGGCUGGAGCGCUGGUCUAGACAAAUUCGAAGUUCAAGAGAAGGAAGGAAAAAGUCGUUACACUCAAAAUUGACCAUAUUACACUCAAAAUUGACCAUAUGACAAAAAUUCAGUAGAUCUAAUCGAUACAAAAAUCCAAUUGAAUUUAGAGAUAGAAAAAGAUGAACAGUAUUGGGAACAAAGAGCAAGGGUUAACUGGAUAAAAUUAGGGGAUAAAAACACAGCGUUCUUUCACAAACAAGCAACACAAAAGAGACAGAGGAACUUGAUUCGUAAAAUGUAGGAUGAAAAUGGAAGAGAAACGAACGAAUUACAAGAAAUGGCAAUGAUCGCCAGAAUGUAUUUCCAACAACUUUUCACCGCAGGCAGAAGGGCUAAUUAUGAGCAUGUUUUAUCAGGAGUUUCUCAAUGUAUAUCAGAAGAAGAUAAUUUGAUGCUUAAAGAGAGUUAUACGAAGGAAGAAAUUCAACAGGCUUUGACAGAAUUAGGGCCCACUAAGGCACCCGAGGAAGACGGAUUUCCAGCAUUAUUUUCCCAGAAAUGUUGGGCAAUUAUUGGAGAAGAAAUAACUAAUUUUUAUCUCAAUCAUCUGAAUGGAGGAAUAGAGAUAGAUCAAAUCAACAAAACAGAUAUCGUUUUAAUCCCCAAAAUAUCAAAUCCAGUGGAUAUUUCACAUUUCAGACCCAUUAGUUUGUGCAAUGUUAUAUACAAAUUAAUGGCUAAAGUUAUUGCGAAUCGACUUAGGAAAGUCCUGGACAAAUGCAUUAAUCCUGCACAAAGUGCUUUUGUGCCGGGAAGAUUGAUUUCGGAUAAUGUGUUGCUGGCCUAUGAACUUCUCCAUACGCUAAAACAGAAGAGAGCAGGGAAGAAAUGAUUUAUGGCAGUCAAACUGGAUAUGAGCAAGGCAUAUGAUAGGGCAGAAUGGAGUUUUGUGGAGGAGGUAAUGAAGAAAAUGGGUUUUGACUCAGAGUGGGUGACUAUACUGUUAAGAUGCGUUACUUUAGUUUCUUAUUCAGUGGUUAUUAACAAUCACAUUGGAGAAUCUUUCUAUCCAACUAGAGGACUCCGACAGGGGGACCCAUUGAGUCCGUUUUUAUUUUUAUUUUGUGGAGAAGGUCUUUCUAGUCUUAUGAAGCUGGGUAUGAUGGAGAAUAGAGUAAGAGGAGUUAAGGCAAGCAAAAGUAGGCCACCGGUUUCACAUUUACUUUUUGCAGAUGAUUGUUUGUUGUUCGGGGAAGCUACAGAGAGGAGUUCAAUUUAUUUAAAACAGAUUCUGCAUAAUUAUGAAGUUUGCUCAGGACAAAAAGUAAACUUUUCAAAAUCCACGAUUUUCUUCAGCAGUAAUUCCCAAGAAGAGGAAAGACGAACAAUUACUCGAGUUCUUGGAGUGCGAAGGUCUGACAAUAUGGAAAGAUAUCUAGGGUUACCUAAUUUGGUGGGGAGAAGGAAAAAGGAGGCGUUCCAGAUUUUGAAAGACAAGUUCAAACAACGAAUUGAAAAUUGGAGCAUCAAGUAUCUUUCACAAGGAGGUAAGGAGAUUUUUAUCAAAGCAAUUUUACAAUCCAUACCAACAUACGCAAUGUCUUGUUUUUUACUUCCUAAAUCUUUAUGCAAUGAGUUAGAGGGAAUUAUUGCAAAGUAUUGGUGGCAGAAAAAUAAAAGGAAAAAAGGGAUACAUUGGUGCGCAUGGAAAGACGUUUGUUUACAAAAAGAGUCGGGUGGUUUAGGUUUUAGAAGUUUUAAUAAGUUUAACGUGGCAUUAUUAGCCAAACAGGGUUGGCGUCUUUUCAAUUAUCCGAGUUAUUUGUUAGCCCGAGUUUUAAAAGCCAAAUAUUUCCCAAAAACAAAUUUCUUAAAUGCUUCUUUGGGUAACCUACCUUCACUCACCUGGAGGAGUAUUUGGGCAUCAAAAAAGCUUUUGUUGGACGGCUUAUGUUGGAGAGUUGGAAUAGGGAACAGUAUAUCGAUAUGGAAUGACCGCUGGAUACCAGGAGUUACUGAAGACAAUUUACAGAACAACAGCAGAAAUGAUGGAAUAAGAUUAGUGUCUGACUUAAUCAACGAAGGAAGUAAAACAUGGAACAGAGAUUUGAUUGUCAAUACCUUUACUAUGGAUAUUGCGAAGAAGAUAAUGCAGAUUCCGCUUUCAAAAUCAAGCCAAGCAGACUUUCAGGUAUGGAGAGGGGAGGCGACCGGAAUCUUCUCAGUAAGAAGCACCUAUAAACUAUUACAGGAGUCUACUAUAGAUCCUAAUGCUUAUUUACAGACCCAUAUAAAAAAAAUUUUCAGGAAACUAUGGAAUCUAAAUUUGCCUUCAAAAAUCAAGAUAACAGUGUGGAAAAUCGCAUGGAAUUACAUUCCAACUUUCUCCAACUUAAAGCUAAGAAGAAUAAUGACAGAAGAUCGAUGUCUGAAGUGCGGACAGGAAGCUGAAGAUAGUGAACAUGUCUUUCAAAGGUGCCCUAUUGUGGAAGAAGUAUGGAGUCAGUUGAAUUUUUCAUGGAUACUUAAUAAUAGUCAUUUAGAUCUAUGGAGCUGGCUUACCUGGGUUUUCAGUGAAGGAACAAAUGAACAGUGUCGAAGUUUCUGCUGUGGGCUAUGGAUAAUCUGGACAAGUAGAAAUAAAUUUCUUUAUGAAGGUAAAAUCAGUACCAAUUGGGAAUUAUCCAAGCAAAUCAAAAGUUAUAUUUUAGAUCUAGAUGGUAUUAAAGAACGGGAACUCACCUUAGUAACUAGUACAAGGUCUAGUCAGAGGCUACAAAGAGCGAACACGGCCAUCUUCUUCAAUGCGGCUUUUGACUUCCAGAAUAACAGAUCUGCGUCAGGCCUAGUUGUUAAGGAGCCGGAAGGAAGAAUCGUGGUUGCAAAGUCGAUCCUCUAUGAAAAUGUUGCAUCACCAUUCACAGCAGAGGCAUAUGCAGGGUACCAAGAAAUAAUGUUAGGGAUUCAAUUGGGAUUUCUUACUUUAGACAUUCUUGGAGAUUCAAAAACGGUUAUAUCAAAAUGUCAAAGGGAGAAUCGUGACAGUUCAAAAAUAGGAGCAAUCAUCAAUGAUAUUCAAGCUUUACAAGGUUUUUUUUCAAAAUAUCAGGUUCCUCUUCAUACCAAGAACUGGAAAUAUUGAAGCACAUAGAUUAGCAAAAGAAACGCUUACGAAGGGAGAGGAACAAUACCUGGAAGGAGAGACUUUAAGAGUAUUCUAUGAAGAGCAGGACCCAACUCGACUGGUUUAUUCGGAGCAAAGGGAAAGGAGAUAAGUUUUUGGAAAGGGUGAAAGACGUUUGAGAUGAAAGAAGAAAUGUCAGAUACUAAAAGUAAUCAGAGAAACAAAAGAUUUGAAGGGGUUUGCUUUUACUUUUCAGUGGCCUUGGACAGAGGAAAAGACAGCAUGAUUAAUGCAGGCUAUUGACCGUUCGGCUGGAGUUUUGAUUUUUUAAUUUUUAAUUUUGUUUGUUUUUGGGCUAAACUGAUGUAAGGCCGUUUUUCUUGUUUUUUAGGAUUUAAUUAUUGGGUCUAGCCCAAUAUGGACAAUUGUGUUUUAUUUCCAUGUCUAAUCCAGUCGAAUUUCAAUUCAAAAAAAAAAAGACUAAUAUCAUAGUUUAAAAAAAGUUAUAAAGUAAAUUAAUUUUAAUAAUAUCUGGAAGAGGGAUUAAAUUUUGAAACUAUUAAUAUUUAAAAAAAAUGAAGUAAAUAAACCAAAAAGAGUAAGAACAUGUGUUAACUGUCAAAUGUAAAAAAAAACUACAAUAUAAAUACAGUGUUUAUUUCCUUUUUUAGAUCAAAUCUUGUAAUAUAUAUAUAUAUAUAUAUAUAUAUGAUUUACUUUUUAUAUAUUUCACUUUUAACAUUUUUAAUAAUUUGCAUUAUAAUUUUUUUAGCCUUUAUUACUUAAAAAUUAAUUUAAAUUAUUCAUUCCUUCAACAAUUAAACAUGGUGUUAAUUAAUUAUAUUUAAGAUGGAAUAAAUUUUUUGAAUAAUCUCAUAUGUUUUUUUUACAUAAUGCCUAGAAUUAUCCAUAGUCAUUUUCAAUCUAUAAAUAUGAGGAUAAUGCGCUUUAGCACACUUAAACUCACAUCCUUCUGUAUUCAUAUCAAUCGAAAUAAAAUUCAAUUAAGAUGCAAGCAUUAAAUCUCUCUUUCAAUUCUAAUAGUUAUCACGCAUAACUUACUCUUAAUUCAAAAUAUUAUUACUUUUAUUUUUCUAAUUUAAUCAAGUAAUUAUUCAAAAGUUAUAUACAUUUCCAAUAAUUAUUUAACUUAGACAAUCUAUCCAUAAAACUUUUCUAAUUAAUAUUUAUAGAUUUUGUGCAUAAUGAAUUAUUUAUAUAUGUAAAAAAAUAUAUUUUAUAAUUAGGAUUCAUUUUGAUUUGAUUAUCUUUAUUUUUUAAAAAUAUAUUUUGCAUCCUAUUUUAUUUACUUUCUUUAUCGAUGACUAAGAAAACUUUCGCUAGAAAUUCUUAAAUUAUUCAAUUUAAAAGAUUCAAUCCAAUUACAGAAACAAAUCCCUUUGAAUUGAACCAUCUACCUAUUUUAUCUCCUGUUAUUGUUCUAAGCGUAGACUGUGCUCCUAUCUUUGAGGAUCUCUGUUAUAAUAUUUUCCCAUUUUGUAACUCUUCACAUCAUCCUUUUUUUUCCUCUUAAAAUCAAACUAUACACUCCUAAACUUAAUUUUGUUUGCUUUUAUAAUUUUUUUUGAAUGGGCAAAGGUUAAGCUUAUGUUCAUCUUUCUUGUUUAAUUUUAAUCCCCCCAUUAUCAUCAACCUUGUAAUUGGAUGAUAGAUUACUUAAUGUAUCACCUGCAGGACUUGUCGAAAUACAUGCAACUUUGCAUAACAUUCUAACUAUGGCUGAUGAAGAUGUUAGGAAGUCUUUACUUUCGUCUACCAAUGAUUCAUUAAAUCUCAAAGAGACAAAGGCCAUUCAAAGAAGAAAGUCUCAUCACCGGUCAAAGGGUCCUUCAGAGAAAGAAUCUCAAGAGCAAGAAAAGGUGUUGCAGCCUCUUAUAAACGUUGAACCAACAUUUGUAGGAUUAGAGUUUAGGAUCAAGUAUGUGUUAUUGUUGUUGGCCUUGUAUCUAGGUAUAGGCACCCUUUGGUUUUUCCUUAUCAAGAACCAGAUUUAUGGUAAGAAAACCAAUGGGGUCAUAGAUGCUAUUUACUUCUGUGUUGUGACAAUGACCUCAGUGGGAUACGGGGACCUUGUACCCCACAGCACAUUGGCUAAGAUACUUUCCUGCAUUUAUGCCUUCACUGGUGUGGCUCUUGUUGGUUUAAUUCUAAGUAAUGCAGCUGAUUACAUUGCGGAAAAGCAGGGAAUUCUCUUGGUUAAAUCCAUGCUUAAGAACGAAAAGUUCAAUACAGCUGAGGUACUUAUGGAUGUUGAAACCAACAGAGACAAAUAUAAAUUCUUGAUGACGUCACUGCUACUUGUGGUGCUUAUAAUUUCUGGGAUCAGCUUCUUAAUUCUAGUUGAAGGAAUGGAAUUCAUUGAUGCUUUUUACUGUGUAUGUUCCACAAUGACCACCCUUGGGUAUGGGGAUAAAAGUUUUUCAACACAAGAGGGACGUAUGUUUGCUAUUUUGUGGAUACUGAGCAGCACGAUUUGCUUAGGUCAGUUCUUUCUCUAUCUAGCAGCGCUAUACACUGAGAAAAGGCAAAGAUCACUGGUUAAAUGGGUUCUUAAUAGAAAGCUAACUCCUUCAGACCUUGAGGCAGCAGAUAUGGAUCACGAUGAGGUAGUAAGGUAAAAACUUCGCAUCACAUACGCACAAACCAGCUAGGGCUUGCAUGCUGCAUGCUGCAUGCUGUAUAUUGCAUAUAUUAUAUAUAUGAUGAUUAUUUGUUGUGAAUUAUCUCUAUCACAGUUCUGCAGAGUUCAUAUUAUAUAAGCUGAAGGAAAUGGGAAAGAUUUGCCAGGAUGACGUUUUGCUAUUGAUGGAAAGGUUCAAAGAUCUUGAUGUUGAUCACUCGGGAACUUUGACUACAGAUGAUUUGAUUUUGUCCUAACACCUACACCACAAAUUCUGAUAAAACUGACUCUUAACUAGUUUACCACUGUAAUUAUCAAAGUUAUUGAUCAAGAAUUCCAUGGAUAUUCUUUAACAUUUAAAGACUUGUUUCAAUUUCCUAGGCACUUUUACAGCAUUUUAAGGAACAAUAUAUGGUUGUGGCUUAGAUUAUUUCAAUUUGGCUCAUCUAGAAAUGAGAAAUAUAUGAUCUCAAAACAUGUUACAAAUAAUGUCAUGUAACUGCAACUUGUUAUAUAAAGUGUUGUUAUUUGAACAAUUACAUCUGUAUAGCACGGUGUCAAAGAACACAUAUAGAGAGAAGCCAACUCCAUGUACGUACAGCAUUAUUCCGAAACAUACAGUAAUUUCCAGGUAAAUUGUACAUUGCUUUCACAUUUUGAAAAGGGGAAGUUAAAAGAAGAUUACAGCUUUUAUAUAUGCAGUGAACUAGUUCACUCAAAUUUCUGAGGCUCCUGAUCUAUAUGCUCCAGCCGGGCUGCGGCAACGUAGUCCAACAGUCCUUCACCCGCUUUUUCACCAUGAGCUUCAGUCGCCAACUGUGAAACGCCACCGAAAGCCAUUAUUGCCACCAAUAAUACGGUGGUUGAAGCGAAAAGAGGCCAAAAGUAGGCGAGAAUGGUGAGCAUGCUAGGGGCUACAUAUGAUAGGAAGGCGAUGAUGGAUGAGACAAAGAUUGCUAAGAUGAAAUGAAAUCUGUAUUGGUUCAGCUUUUGUUGGAUACCCAUUGGCUUCAUUGCUAAGCAAUAAAAAAAAAAUCAAAGGAAGGAGAAUAAUGGUGGAAACAAUUGGUCACUAGGCUACCUCUUUUUCGUAUAUAUGAUGUUAUGUGGAAUUAAUAUAUUAAGAUUGUAGAAGAUGGUGGGUCUUAAGACUUGGAGACUUGUUUAUUUAUUUAUUUAUUUAUUGCUUUCUGCUUACUUUAUGUCUUGUUUUCCUUGGGAGAGAUUCUUCUUUUUUCCUAAAUAAUUCUACUUAUAUUUUGGCUCUAUUUCUCUAAUUACAUCCAUGGCCCUCUCCUGGUUUUGUUCACUCACAAAGUCUUUCCAACUUUAAAGCCUAGGUCUAAUUCUAUCACCAGUGUCUGUACUCUUUGAACUUUAGAAAUUUAGUCCCUUUGUUUCUAAUUUCAUGGAUUUAUUUAUUUGCUAAACCAAUUCUUUCAUUACAAAGCUAAAAGGUUCCAAACCAGCUUAUUGUUGAACACUAAAAUGCAACCGAGUGGCCACAGCUCUGAUGAAACACCUUAAGAGGACAGAAAACAAAGUUAUCAAUUAGACUUUUAAGUUUUGGAUCAGACAAUAAAAGAGGGUCUAAAUUCUUAAAAGUCUAAAGAGUAGAGGGGCUCUCUAGUUAUAAUUAAACGUAAAGUUCAAAUCAAACCCAAUAUGAUUAGGAAGGGCAGAAUAGAGAAUAAGGAAUGCAAUGUAUUGGAAUAUAUGCUUUGUCCACUACUAGGGUUGGGCGGUUGCUUUGUCCCUAAAUCGAGUGGACACCGCUUUCUGCUUGAAAGUAAGAUUAAGAUUAGAUUAAUAAAUAUGAAAGGAAAGGCAUAUAUAUUGCUUUUUCUUAUCAUUUCUGCAACAUACUUAUGAGUUAUUUAGAACAUAGAUUAGAUGUUGAGACAAGAAGAAACUAGAGGCCCCUGCUUUUGGUAUAUUCUUUACUAUUCUAUGUCGGCUAAUGGCCCAAUCCAAAUAAAAGGUAACUUUUGUGGGACGUGGAGGAGGAUGAUUACAUUUAUUAUUUUUUUUUUUUUUGGAAGUUAGAAAAAAAUUUUGGUAUCGAAAUUAAAUAUAUAUUUUUACGAUAAUAAAAUUUUAUCAUAUUUAGGAAGUCAAAGUGCAAUUUUACUAGUACUAAUUUUAAAUUUUAUAAAUUAUAAAAAAAACCUAAAUUAAAAAUUUUUCAUUUUAAGGACCGGAGCCCCUAACCCUAGCUUCGCCACUGCCUUUGAAGGCUUUUUAACCUAUUCUCAUAUAUAAAAUAUAUAACAUAUUCACUUUUUAUUUUAUACAUUAAAAAAUUACAUAAUAAGACAUAAAUUAAUAAUUUUAAAAGAUGGGUAAAAUUAGAUGGUGGUCCGACUUGAAGGCCCUUCCGAAAAAUAGGAGGGUUUAAACAAAAAUAUAAGCUUGAAAAAUGGGCUUGAAAAAAAAAGAUCCGUUUAGAAAAUGGGUCAAGUUUCAAGUAAGGUUUUUUGGCCCAGGCCUAACCUGAAUUUGCAAAAAAAAACUAUUGUUUUGCUGCUGUUUUUCCACUGUUUUACUGCUAUUUUCCCACUGUUUUGUUGCUACUAUUUUGUUGUUAUUGUUUGGAUAUUGUAUAUAACUCUUGUUUUUAUUGAUACUUUUACUAUUAUUUUAGAGACAUUUGCUUGUUAAGUUACACCUAUCUUAGUGCUAUUUAAGUAUAAAUAUUUUUUAAAUUUAUUUUCAAUUUGUUGGGAAAUAUUUAUUUUAAUGUUUUUAGUAAUUUUUUAUGUAUUCUAUUUUUUAUUUUUAUAUUAAAAAUAAAAUAAAAUAAUAAUACGAGAUGGACCAAACUUGAAUAAAAAUUUAGACAAACCUAAAAUUUUAUUAGGACUCAACCUGAAUCUGACCUGACCCAUAAACAAGCAAAACAAAAUAAGCAUUUCACAACUAUUCCACUCCACAACAUGGACUCUCAUCCAAGCAUGUCAUACUUAGUGAGGAACAACUUGUAUCACAAUUCAUGCCAAUUUACAAUGUAUUGUUUGCGUAUAAAUUAAAGGGUAAAUUGUAAAAAAAUUGUUUGUUUCAAGUUACGUUUUAGUUAUUUAUGUUUAAAAUGUUAUGUUUUAGUCACUUAUGUUAUCGUUUUGUUACGAAGUACUCACUCUACCGUUAAGCUCCGUUACGUCUCUAAAGACAGUCCAAAUGAGUUUUAAAUGCCAACUUGGAUGUCCUACGUGAUAGUCCAAAUUAAAUUUAUUUAAUUAAAAACCUAUUUUCAUCCCAGCAACUGAACAUCCCAGUUGGUAUUUAAAACUCAUUUGGACUGCCACGUAGGACUGCCGUUAGGGAGGUAAUGGAGUUCAAUGGUAAAGUGACCACUUUGUAACAAACCGAUAACGUAAGUGACUAAAACGUAACAUUUCAAACAUAAGUAACUAAAAUGUAAUAUGAGGCAAGUAAAAGUGACUAUUUUUAUAGUUUACCUUAAAUUAAAAGUCGAGAUGAACUCAAAAUACUCCAUCAACAUUUUUUUUCUCUAAAACCAUAAAAAUGGAUUGUUAAUGAUGGGAAUUGGCAUGGGCCACUAAACUUGAAACGGGCUAAACGUUGAAGCUAUAAAUUGUAAUCAAUAGUAAUGGGCCUCUCUCAACCCAAACUACAAGAGCUACCAUACAAUAAUUUACCAACUCUCAACUUAAACCUAACAGAAACAGAAAAAGACGUGAUCGCAAUUAACAUCGCUUUCAAAUUAAGAUUAGUGGAGAUUUCAAUUAAGCUAUGAUUAACAUAAAAAACCCCUUAACCUUAAGCAAGGUUUAAUUGGUUGUUGGUGGGGGAUUGGCUUGGUAGAGUUUGAAGUCUUCCCUUUGUCGCCUACCUAUGUCCAAAUUGGCUUAUCCGCGUUAACCCCUAUACCAGCUGGACCUCCUCUACUUUUCUUCACAUAUCGAAUACCCUAUCUCCAAUCACACUUUUAAGCAAAGAUGAGUUUUAUAUCUUUUAGUUUUUCAAUGCAUCCACAAAAACAGCAAGCUCAGUAAUUAAUUUUUCACAUUUAGUAAACCCAUUAAUCACGAGUUUUAAAACUAUCUCAUAGUUAAUAUAAGAAUCGAAUCCUUAACUAUUGAUAUAAUAAAUAUUAAACCAAUAGAUGUUUUUUUUAUGAGUUUCAGAUAAGGGUCAUUAUCUGCAUAAAAAAGAAAGAAAGAAGGGUCAUCAACACCUCAUUAACUUGGUCUCAAUUCAAACAGUGUGUUUGAGUGCCUUCCACUGAUACAAACAAAAGAACAACACCUUGGUUUCAGCAAUAUUUAGCGCUUAAGGAAUCCAUUUUUUUCCAAAGGAGGACAUUUCCAUCAACCUAGGGAGGAUCAUGUCAUAUAUCUCAACAACUCCUCUCUUCUCUAUAUCUCUACUUCUUUUUUUGUUUGCUCCAACAUAAAUCAAUAGCAAAUAUUAAAAGAAACCCCGUUUUGAAAGGGUUCAGAAAAUAAUACCUCUGCUUACUUUCAGCUGACAUUCCAUUUUAAUUCCUAGACAACUUUUAUCCAACAUAGCUAAACAUAGAGCGUGGAAAAGAAUGACAACGGAGCAAAGCAUUGCAAAUCAUAAACAAGAUUAGAAUAAAGAUAAAUUAAAUUUUCGAUUAUUGACUCAGUUCUUUUUAGAUAUAUCUGUCAUACACUAAGUUUGCAGCAAAUGGCACCAGCUAAUACAGUAUUUGUUAUAUAAAUAAAAUUUGAUUUUUGGAAAGUAUACGAUUAGGUUAAGUGGUAAUUAGUAUUAUUAUAUUUAUAAUAGAAUAAAAAAAGAAAAGAAAAGAAAAGUAAAGCGGUCAUAUUUAUGAUAAUGAAUCAUAAAUCAAAUGGAUGGUCUAUGAUUAAGAGAAAGGAAGUUAAAAGCUGGAAUCAUUGUCAUGAUAAUGACAAUAAGAAUGAAAUUGAAUGUUACUGUUUAAAACAAUGAGCUUGGCCGGCUUUAACAAUUUUCAGUGGCUUGCGACAUUUGCUUAAGAUUAAGGGAAGCUUUCCUCUCUUUGCGGUCAAUUCCUUCAAGGGAUGGACUCUCUCCCUUUCUCUAACUAAAUCCUCUUGUGUGUGUAUCUAUAUAUAAUCAUUUCUAUAUAUUAUUCCCUAACAAGACAACCCCAAGUCCUAAGUCCUCUGUUGUUGUUGGUGUGCUGGUAUUUUAGUUGGGUGCAUUAUCAAGUGCCUGAAACAUAAACUCAAAACUGAAAUGGUGUGUCCUGAGGAAUCAUUUGGAGGCAAUGAGAGCUCUUUUGCUUACCUUCAUCCUAACCCUGUUGUGUUAGAGCUCACCCGAUUGCAGAACCAACUCAAAGGUACUUGAUACUGAAACAUGUUAAUGGAUUGUUAGAUCUGUAAGAAAAGGAAGAACAACACUAACAAUUUAUGUAAUACUACUUGUCAUGUUAUGUUACUUAAUAUUAUUCCAGAAAGGGACAGGGAGUUAGGAGCUGCCCAGGCUGAAAUCAAAGCUUUGAGAGGAACUGAAGCACUGAAGGAUAAGGCCAUACAUGAGGUACUGAAAUUAAGAAUAUAUGCUGUAGUUUGAGUACUGUAAUUAUUCUGAAACUAUUCAUUUCUUUUUCUUAUUUUCAGCUCCAGGGUGAAGUUCAAAAGUUGGAUGAGAAACAUCGGGUCGCUGAGAAUAUCCUUCAACAUAAGGUUAGGUCCUGGCCCCUAGUUCUGUACUUAUAAUGUUUAAGUAAUGGUGCUGAAUUAAUCCUAUGCCACGUAGAACCUCGAAAUCAAGAAACUGACGAAUGAGAAGAAAGAUGCAAUGGCUGCACAAUUUGCUGCAGAAGCAACUCUUAGAAGGGUGCAUGCAAACCAAAAGGAUGAUGAUGAUGUUUCUAUCGAAUCCGUCGUUGCUCCUCUUGAGGCAGAGAUAAAAAUGUAUAAGAAUGAGGUAGGCACAGGGUUGUGGCCUUGUUUUCUGCUUUGUUGCUCCUACUUGACUAACACUCUACUUACAGAUUGCAAUGCUACAUGAGGAUAAGAGGGCGUUGGAACGUCUUACUAAGUCGAAAGAGUUGGCUCUGCUCGAAGCAGAGAAGAUUUUGCGAAGUGCUUUAGAAAGGGCUUUAAUAGUUGAGGAGGUUCAAAACCAGAACUUUGAGUUAAGGAGACAGAUUGAGAUUUGUCAGGCAAGUUUGAGGCUCUUACUGCAGUCGGUUACUAUUAAGGGAUUCAAGACCCUUUUUAACCAAUGAAAAUUGUGUCUUAAUGCAGGAGGAGCACAAAAUCCUUGAGAAAACCAAUCGCCAAAAGGUCUUAGAGAUUGAAAAGCUAAGCCAAACUAUUCAAGAACUCGAGGAGGCGAUUUUGGCUGGAGGGGCUGCUGCUAACUCUGUCCGGGACUAUCAGAGACAAAUUUCGCAACUUAAUGUGAUGUUCCAUUCCAUGCUUACAUGCUGAUCAUCAUCUUUUCUACAUGAACUAUGGUCAUAUGUUGUUCAUAUAGGUAUUAACUGUAAUGAGUCAAUUAAUUCAGGAAGAAAAGAGGACGCUCGAGAGGGAGCUUGCACGAGUUAAAGUCUCGGCCAACCGUGUAGCGACCGUGGUGGCCAAUGAGUGGAAGGAUGAGAAUGACAAGGUAAUGCCUGUCAAGCAAUGGCUGGAAGACAGAAGGCUGCUGCAGGUAAUUCUUGGAAAUUCUCAGCGUAUUUAGGGCUACUUUAGCAUUGCUAUUGUGGUUUAAAAGUGCUUUUGAACUGUGAAAAGCAGUACUAAACAGUAAACAUACCCUUAAUAAGCUAACAAAUGCAAGUGAAUGGAGAAAAUUUUCCUCUUCACUGUAACUGCAACUUAAAACAAUGCAUGAUCAUAAAUAUAAGGAUUAUGAACCAGAAAACUGCUACCCUCAAACAUAAUUUUUUUAUGUUUUAUUUGGAACUAAAUUUCUGUAUUUAUAGGCAGAGGUGCAAAGAUUGAAGGACAAACUAGCUGUGUCAGAGAGAACAGCAAAGGCAGAAGCACAGCUUAAGGUGAAAUUUGACAGUUUAAAUUAAAUUUGACUUAAAUAUUAAUGCAGACAGUAUUUUCUCAAGCUCAAUGUAAAUAUGGUCCAGGAGAAACUCAAGCUAAGGCUCAAAAUAUUGGAAGAUGGCUUAAAACAGGCAUCAAGUUUGUCAGUUAAUGCAUCUUAUGGGUCCCCAAAACCAGACAAGUCCAGCAAUAUAUUAGGGCUUUUAACAGGCAGCAGUGGACCAAGGAAGAGGUCUACCUCUCAACCAAGGGCUUCUACCAUCAGUGCCACUCUACUGCAGCGGCCAAGUGUAGAAACUGAAACAGCCAAUACCAGAAUAAGACAAGGUAGCAGCUUGAGAAGAAGGCCUGUAUCAGAAGAAAAUAUGGUGAGAAAAAAUUUGUGGGCGUCUAGGUGUAAGGUUGCUGAUAGUAGUGAAAAGGAAAAUGCAGAAAAUAAGGUCAAUGAACAGACUGAAAAGAAAAACAAUGAAGAGAACGAAAACAGAGGGAAUGCGGAAGAUAUGGUUUCAGGGUUUUUGUAUGAUAAGCUUCAGAAAGAGGUCAUUAAUCUAAGGAAGUUUUGUGAGGCUAAGGAUAAUAGCUUGAAUGCUAAAGAUGAAGAAAUAAAGGUGAAGCGUUUGUAACUGUUUCCUUCUUUAUGUACGUAUGUAUAUAUGUAUGUGUUACUGAAAGAUGUAAUUGUUUUACAGAUGCUGAUGAAAAAGGUUGAAGCAUUCUCAAGAGCCAUGGAAAUGGAGUCUAAACGAGUGAAGAAGGAAACACAACUUGUUAAAGAAAAGAAGAAUGGAUCACCCAAAAUGGAGGAUACCAAAAAGGUGAAAAACAAUAACUGUAGAAGGUCUUGAAGAUUGGCAAUGGAAUUCAUUUGAUUGGUUGGAUAUGAUUGUGAUUGUAAAUAGUGACUUAUAAUGUUGUUUUUUGGAUGAUAAUUAGCUUAGUUAAAAUAAAGUUGGUUGUGAAUGAUGAAAAUUGGGUUUGUAAUGGUAAUUGUAAAAGAAAAAGGGUUGGAGAUUUGUUGAUGAAUUAUAACAUCCUAGCUAGGCCUAGGAUGAUGAUGAUGAUGAUGAUGAUGAUGAUGAUGAUGAUGUAGUCCCAAUUGCGUUUUCUAAUGCUUGAGGUUGACAUAAAUAUUAUCCCCCUGGUUUCUUUUCUUUCCUUAACUGCGCUAAAUUUUUGGGGUUUGGACGGUCCUGCUAGCCUAGACCUGUCCAUGGGCUGGGCGGCCCGGCCCGGCCCGACGGCCCGCUCGAAAUAUGAGAGGGUUUGGGUAAAAAUAUAGGCCCGAAAUAUGGGCUUGGGUAAAAAAACGAGGCCCGUUUAAAAAAUGGACCGGGCUUGGGCUCAACUUUUUUGGCCCGGGCUCGGCCCGGCCCGGCCCGAAUAUAAUAAAUAUAUAAUUUUUAUUUUUAUUUUUAAAUUUUAAAAUACUUUUAAAAUAUUUUUAUUUUUAUUUUUAAAAUAUUUUUUUUGUAUUUAUUAAAAAUCGGGCCGGGCCGGGCCGGGCUCGGGCUUACUCUUUUUUUCCCGGGCCAGGCCUAGGCAAAAUUUUAGGCCGAUAUUUCGGGCCGGGCCGGGCCCGGGACUAAGAGUCGGCCGAAAUUUUUUUCCGGGCCUGGCCCGACCCGGCCCAUGGACAGCUCUAUGCUAGCCUCAUCUCCACUUUUAUAAUUAUCCAAUUGGAUUCCCCAUCUUGUUUCUAAUUCGAUUUUAUAAUAAAAAAUAAAUAAUUAGUGUGAAUCCCAAACCCUAAUUUUUUUCCCUCCAAUUCGUUUAUUUUUUCUUUUUUGUUUUGUUUGGCGGUAGUGCUAAUUUUUGAGUUAGUAUCGUUAGUUUUUUUUCACUCUCCUAUUGUUUUUUUUCUGUCAUUUACUCUAUGUAUCUUCUCUUUUUUAUGGAUUUUUUUUUGUCUUCAUAAGUUACGAUGGAUAGAUACAAUACCUGUGGUCGUUGAAACUCCACCGAUCUCCUGCAGUUUCUCAUGAAAAGUGGGUAACUCUUCGUCGGCUUCUUAAUGCAUUUUUGUUUUAAGAAUAUUUCAGAAUAAUAAAUAAUUUCACGAGUUGGUUUGGACUCAUAUUAUCUUAAAUUUUGUAUAUUUUUUUUUGUUUUCCAUUGUUUAAUAAGUAUUUACUUUUAGAAGUUUUUGUUUUUGUUUGCUAUUGUAGCACGUUUUUUAAUCUUGCUUAUGCAAGUGAUUUUAGGGAUGUGUUUUUUUGUCGUCCUCUCCAGUAUGGUGGAUGGUCGGUUCUUUCGCCGAUUUUUGCCCACCGCUUUGGACCAUCCUGAGUUGAUUUUCUUAUCAUAUUAAGUGCUUGCAAUCACUCCAAAAAUGGCAUGCUUGAGUUGUGAUAAGACUAAUUGUAUACAUGCUGAGACUAAAACCUUUAUUGUGUUGAUGGAGCUUGCCCUUCACCACUUAGGACGAGUGUUUUUUUUUUCUGAAUCAUAUGAUCCCAUUUAUGGAAUGAAUUAAUGAAUUUCCCAUUAAAAAAAAUAAAUACUUUUUGUUGAUGGCAUAUUUGAAAAUCAUAAUUUGGGUAAAAAAUUUUGGAUUUGGAAAUCCAAAUAUUUUAUUUGGAUAACAAAUAAAAUGUUGUAUUUGAAUUUGCGAAAAUAAAAGUUCAAUUUAAUUUUGGAUUUUCAAAUUCAUUUUAAAAUUUAAAAAUUUCAAAAUUAAAGAUUAAAUAGAAAAACAUGAGAACUUUUUUUUGUAAUAGCCCGUUUUCAGUAAAAUCGGAACAAUGGUUUCGAGACCACAAAUCUGAGUCUGAAAAAAAAUAUUUUAAUAUUAUUUUAUGGUCUACUGUAUGAUAGGAAUAUUGUAUGAAAAAUUUGUUAAGAAAAUUUUACUGAUUACAUGUUUAAUUGAUUAAAGGACCAAAUUGCAUGAAAUGCAAAAGUUGAAUUCUAGUAGCUAAAAUGAUCAAAUAGCUAUGGAAUUCAAAAUUUGAGGUCCUUAUAUGAUAAACAUACCAUUAAGAGGAGUUAGUAGCUAAUUAUGAUGAUUCAUCCAUGGAAAAUUAAAUAAAGAAAAAGACUAAAUUACAAAGAUGAAAUAAUAAAAGAUGAUAUUCUAAUUAAAUAAGAAAUAUCAUCAUUUCAUAUCAUCUUUCCCAAAUAAAAAAAAAACAUGGAAACCCUAGUUUAGAAGAGCUUGAAGAUAGCAAGUUAUUUUGGCUCAAUUAGGUGAGUAUUCAAGUCCCGUUUUUAAUAAUUUUCAUGUUUUUGAGAUCGUAAUAGCUUAAUCUAGCCAUCUCGGGGAUUAAUUUGUAAAGUUAUCAAAGUAAUAGAGUUUUGUCAUGGAUGAAUAUGCAUGAAAUAUGAAUUUUUAUGGUAGAAAAUGAAAGGUUGUUGAUAGAUAAACAACUUUUGUAAAGUGAAUUUUGUUGAAAUGGAUGUUUAAGGACUAAAUUGUAAAGAUUUAAAAUUCAUGGAAAAUUAUGAAUUUUAUGAAAUGCAUGGGCUGCUAAUGUUAUAUGUAAAAAUUGGCUAGGCUUGGAAUAAGGAUUAAAUUACAUGAAUUUCAUUUUCCGAGCCUAAGGACAAAAUUGUCAUUAAUUAAAAGUAUAUGGGCAAAAUGAUAAUUUUGCUAAAGAUGUGAAUUGAAUUAAAAAAUGAAUUGAUGUUAAAUUCAUUUAUUUAGAUCCGGAUAGACCAAAUACGGAAUUGGAUUGAGGAAAAGAAAAAGUGUCAGAUUAGUAGAUUACAAAUACACGAACACUUGUCGAGGUAAGUUCGUGUAACUAAAUUGUAUAUUUAUAUAAUUGUAUUGAAUGUAGUAUAUGUGAAUUGUAUUGUAUUGUUGCUACGUACUUGAAAUUAAUCUUAUAUCUGAUAAUGCCUGACAAAUAUAAGUCCAUAUUGAAUAAAUGAAAUUCGAUUGAUACAGGGUUUCCGUAUUGGUUGUGGUCCUGCGUAUGUUGCGGACAGACCACAGCUCGAAAGAGCGUCCCGUUAUUAUCCUUCUCGAACUUCCCAUUAUAUAGUUCCUGCGAGCUUCCCGUUAAUAGCUCUUUGGAGCAUUCCUAUCGGUUGUGAUCCUGCAUGUGUUGUGGACACACCACAGCUCUUAUGAGCGUCUUGAUAUAUGACUCUUCGUGAGCUUCCCGAUUAAAGGCUCUUUGUGAGCUUCCUAAUUAAUUGCUCUCUGGAGCUUCUUGAUAUGGCUCCCCUGAACUUCCCGAUAUAUGGCUAUUCGGAGCUUCCCGUUAAUGGCUCUUCAGAGCUACCCAUUAUUGGCUCGCGUGAGCUUCUUGAAUAUGGCUCUUAUGAGCUUCUUGUUAUAUAGCCCGGAUAAGCUUCCCGUUAUACAGCUCACAUGAGCUUCCUGUUAUAUGGCUCGAGAGAGCGCAUCCUGAUUAUGUACUCGUAUGAGCCUUCCCAAAUAAGAAUUGACGGAUAAUAGUUUUGUACACUUCAAGUGUACUACCUAUAAAUCCAUCGAUAUUUUAAAUAAAUUCAACGGGCAAAGUUCCGACAUGAGAUAAUUUGAACUUGAGAUGAAUUAUUAUGGAAAUGUAUAUGUUAUAUGAAUAUAUGAUGUGAAAAACAUAUGUAUAUGAAAAUUGUUACAUGAUGAGCUCAUCUUUGUUUCUUGAUAUUCACAUGAAGUACAUAACUAACAUGUUUCUUAAGGUUAUAUGUGUUUAGGCAAAUUCCCAAAUUUCUUUGGAUGAAUUUUGCAUGCUUACUUUAAAUGUAAAUGAAUGAUAAGUUAAUUUUCCAUUAUAAGAACUUACUAAGCAUAAAAUGCUUACUCUGUUUUAUUUUCCUUUGUUCUAUAGUAUUUCGGAAGCUCGUUGGUUAGAAGCUUGGCAAAUAUAUCAUCACACUAUCCAUCACUCAUCUCGGUAUAUUUAGCAAAUCAACUUUGGUAUAAUGGCAUGUAUAGGUUAAGUUUGUCAUUGAUGGCAGGUAAAUGUUUUGUUGUGAUUAGCCAUUUGAAUGGCUUAUGUUUGAUACAUUUUGAUAUAUAUAAGUACAUGGGCUUAUCAUGGUUGAUAUGUGUUUUAGUAUAAUUGAUUGAUGAUUAACUAAUAGACAAAUUGUAACAUGGCUUGAGUUGGUAUAGUUGGUACAAAUAUGAAUAUAUAUAAAUAAGUGAUCAAAUUGUUAAGCUUGGAUACUUGAUUAUAUAAGAUGAUAUGAUUUGCAUAAGACUUGGUUUUGGCUUGAUUCAAAUGUUUUAUAUUGGAUUGGGAAGGUGUUUAAAUGUUAAUGUAGGUGGAAGACAAGUUUGAGUGAGAAAUAAGGCUUGAAAAUGACCUUAUUUUGUCCACAUUGGCAGAGACACGGACGUGUGUCUCAGCAGUGUGUGACACACUGCCUAGCACAUGGGCGUGUGAAUUGGAUGCGUGUCCCUUGCAUCUUUAAAAUUUACAGAAUGCUUAGAAUUGAUCACACGGCCUAACACAUGGGCAUGUGGCUUGGCCGUGUGACCCCUAUACCUACACACGGCUUAGCACAUAGAUGUGUGACUUGGCCGUAUGACCCAAGUCAGAGAGUUACACGGGUAUGGACACAGGUUGGGACACGACCGUGUGCCCUAUUUCGGAUGCCCACACGGCCUAACCAUACGGGUGUGUGUCCCUUGCACAUUAGAAAAAAUUGAGAUUUUGUGAAAAAUUCUCUGAGUACCCGAUUUUGUCUCGACUUGCUUCUAAUGCAUAUGUUGGGCCUCGAGGGCUCAUAUGAGGGACAUUAUGAUUAAUUAUGAUCGAUUUCUGAUAUGAAUGUUAAAUGUUAUGAAAUAACUGUAUUUGAUCUGAAUAUUCUGGUAAUGCGUCAUAACCCUAUUUCGGCGACAGAUAUGGGUUAAGGGUGUUACAUUUAUUGGUAUCAGAGCUACGGUUUAGUCAAUUCUCAGACUAACUUAGCAAGUACAAGUCUAGCUAUACAUGCCAUUAUAUAACUUGUGAUAGUGUGAUAUAUCCUGACCAUUUUAAAUAUCUUUUUCAUAUAGUAAUGUCGUCCAACCAAGCUAAAUCCGAACAAGCUGAGAGUAAUGCUCAAGCUUCAGUUCAAAUAGCAGCAUCUAGUAGUAGAAGGCCCGUAUCUGAGGGCCGAGGAGGAGAGGCAAAAGAAGCCUUCUUCCAAAUAAUAAAUGAGUGGUUUACAGAAUAUGUACGGACAAAUUUGGCUGUUCAACAACCUCUACCCCUCCUAUUUCUCAACCGGUUCCCGAUAUGCCACAAGGUACAGAACUUGUUAGAACUGAUAAGCCUUUUGUAGAUAAAAUCUGUAAGUAUAGGGUUGAAGAAUUUUGAGUUACCGCUGAAGACGAUCUAGGAAGGGCUGAAUUCUAGCUGGAAAACACUAUCAGAGUUCUUGAUGAACUAUCCUGUACACCAAAAAAAUCUUGAAAUGUGAUGUAUCACUGCUAAAAGACUCAGCCUACCAGUGGUGGAACACAUUAAUUUCUGUUGUACCGAAUGAGAGGGUCGCAUGAGAAUUUUUCCGAACUGAGUUAAAAAAGAAAUAUAUUAGUCAAAGAUUCCUUGAUCAGAAAAGAAAAAGAAUUUUUAGAGCUUAAAUAGGGGCAUAUGACUGUACCUGAGUAUGAAAGAGAAUUUUUCUGACUGAGUAAGUAUGCCAGAGAAUGUGUCUCGAUUGAAAUCGUAAUGUGCAAGCGGUUUGAAGAGGGUUUACGUAAUAGCCCAAUUUUGGGCCUAGUCGGAACAGUGGUUUCGGGACCACAAAUCCGACGAGAAAAAAAUUUAAUUUUUAUUAUAUUUUUAUGGUCUACAGUUUCAUAUAAUGACUUCAUGAAAAUUUCGUUCAAAAAUUUCGACGUUUGGGCACUUAAUUUAGCCAAAAGGACUAAAUUGUAAAAAGUGCAAAAGUUGAGUUCUUCAUGUUAGAAGUGUCCAAUUGUUAUGAAAUUUUAAAUUGGAGGUCCUUAAAUGGUAAUUAGACCAUUGGUUACAUUUUGGAAAAAAAAUGGACACGAGAUAAGUGAAAUAGGAAAUUUUUAAGUUAGGGGUAUUUUGGUAAUUUGGUAAUUAAAAUGUAUUAAAAAGAAAAAAUAGGCCAAAAAUCAUCAUCUUCAAGCCUUGGCCGAAUUUCACAAGGGGGAAUCCAUUUCUAGGGUUUUCAAGCUUCCAAGCUCUGUAGUAAGUGAUUCCAAGCCCCGUUUUUAAUGUUCUUUACGUUUUUAGAGUCCUAGUAACUUGAUUUAGCUUAUUCUAUCAAUAAUUUAAUCUAGGGUUUAUAUUUGGAAAAAUAUCCAUAGGUGAAAUAUGUUUAUUUCGAUGUUUUAUGGUAGAAUAUGAAGCUUGAAAUUAUGUUAAACAACUUUUGCUAAGCGAUUUUAAGUGAAAACGAGUAAAACGACAUAAUCGGUAAAAAUACCUAAUGUUCAUAAGUAAGUGUUAGAGUGGGAAUUUGAUGUUGCCAUAGAAGGGAAAAAUUUUCAGCGUAUCAUAAAACAUAAGAAUAAGAGAUGAAGUUUAAUUUCCGAGCUUUGGGGUAAAAGUGUAAAUAUGCAAAAGUUUAGGGGCAAAAUUGUAAUUUUUCCAAAGUUUGAGUCAAUGACUGUUUUGAUGAAUGUGAGUGUUAAAUAAGUUAAAUGUGUCAUUAUAAGUCAAGAAAGACAAAGAAUUGACUUUGAUUAGUGAAAAAGAAAAGUGAGAAAUUCCUAGUUGAACCUUCGAAAUAAACAGGGAUACAAAUGAAGUGACAGAAAUGAUCACAUGUGUGGCACGGACUGUGUGUAGGCCACUAUGUGAAAGUGAUGGCCAUGUGUGUAGUGCUAUGUGCAGGCUACUACGUGUACCAAAAAGAUAGGUCGCAUGUGUAGUACUGUGUGCAGGCUACUAUGCGUACCGGAUAGCUUCGAUCACGUGUGUAGUACUAUAUACAGGCUACUACGUGUAUUGAAUAGUGAUGGUCACAUGUGUAGUACUAUGUGUAGGCUACUAUGUGAACCCGUAUCAUUGAUUAUAAGGUGGUUGCAAAUUGCUGAUUCCACCGUAUCCUUGAUUGUGAAAGAGGUUGCUAUGUGCUGAUUCCCCGUAUCCUUGAUUAUAAGAUGGUUGCUAAGUGCUGAUUCCACCGUAUCCUUGAUUAUGAAAGGGUUUGCUAUGUGCUGAUUUCCCGUAUCAUUGAUUAUAAGGUGGUUCCUAAGUGCUGAUUCCACCGGGAUCCUUUGAAUAUGAGGUGGUUGCUAAGUGCUGAUUCCACCGUGUAACGGUUAAUAUUCUGAAAUGUUCAUUAGGGAAAUUGGAUAAGUGAAAAUAUAUGUGAAUCGAAUAAGGUUACAUGAUGAAUAUUGAGUUCGAUAUUUAAUCGACCCUUGAGUAAGAUGAAAAGAAGUAAUGAAAUUAUGAAAGAGUAAAAUGUGCAACAAAACAGUUUUGGACAGUAACAAUAGUGUGACUUUGAAAAAUCACCAAAAAUGGUGAAAAUUGAAUUAGAGAGUGAAUGAGAUAUGAAAUGAAAGCUUAAGGAGUCUGUUUUUAUAUAAAAGAAACAGAGCAAGCAAAAGAGUUAUACAUUUUGAGAUAUUUGAAUUUACGGAAUCCCCUAUUCUGAAUUUGGAAAAUCAUUAAAAAUUGUAAAAAAAUAAUUACAAGUUAUAAUUUAUAUGCUUAUAAUCCUUAAUGAGUCCAUUUUCAAAGAAAACAAACGAAAAUAUCAUUCGAAUUCUGUACAAUGAGAUAAUUCAUUUUUAGUGAAGAGAGGUCAGAGAUGUUGAGUAGUGAAACAGGGGUGACUUUAAAGAAUAAAAUGUACUAAUUGGCUGAGUCAAAAAUUCUAAAAAUUUUAUGGUAAGAAUACAUGUGAGUCUAGUUUUUAGGAAAAUAAACGGAUCGUAAUUUGGAACUCUGUAGCUUCGGAUAAAAAUGAUUUAGUGACUUUGACUCAAAUAAAUAGCUUUGAAUUUAAAUAUACGUGAAUAGUAAAAUUAUGUAUAAUGCUAUUUAAGCAUGUUUUAUACAUAAAGGAUGUGGAAUGGAGAGGAGGAGGAGGAAAAUUAAUUAUAUAUAUGAAUGAUUUGUGUAUAAUUGGUUAUAUGCUCUAUUAUAAUCGAUAAACGUUAAAAUAGAAAUGAUGCUUACAUUUGCGUAUUAUUGAUCAUGAUUUAAGCUCAUAUGGGAAAAUAAAGUUUCAUAGUAUGUGAGUGUGGUAUAUUUGGUAUAUGUUUUGGUAUGAAGUAAGGCUAUGAAUGGUUUAUGGAUUAACUCAUGUUGGUAAGUUUGAUACAUGAAUAAAUGUUGAACUCGGCCAUACUUAUAAUGCUUACGCUAUAUGUUUAUUUGGCUAACAUGUGUAGUGUACACGUUUAAGCUUUGGCCAAGUGGUGGCUGAAUUAUGCCACGCUAAAUUUAUAAGUUAUGCAUUGAAAUGGUAAGUGCCUAGAUGGGAAUAUGCUUGUGAUCAUAGAAAGGGUGGUAAUGUUUAAAUUAUGUAAACUUACUUGAAAUGGUUUAUCAUGUGGUUAAUUCCAAAAAGAAUUAUGUUUAAAUGUACUAGCUUGUGACUAUGGUUGAAUAAUAUGUUAUUGUUUUGUGUGAUAUUCGUAGGAAAUGGGUGUGGAAAGGAAAUGAAGUAUUAAGUUCAUACUUGAAGAAUAAAAUGACGAAAAAGGGGAUGAUGAGUUGAUUUGAUGUUGUUAUUUAAGCUUAAGUGAUGUUUUCAUUGUAAUACUAAGAAUUUUAUAAAUGUGUUAUUGAAUGGUAUAAUUGAUAAACGUUGAGUUAAAUGGUGAAUACGUAUUAGUAUUAAACUUAAAGAUAUUGAAGUGUACAUGAAUUAAAUGGAAGUUUCUAGUGAUAUGAUUUGAAUUAAAAGAAUUAUUGUGGUAUUGAAAUAUAUAUAUUGGAUUGAGAAAUUGAUUUGAAUUGUGAACAUGAAAGAUUGUGAAUUGAAUAAAAUGGAAAUGAAGCAUUGAAUUACUUGAGUAAGUAUCGGGUCUCGUAGGCCCUAUUUGUUAUGAAUAUAAUAUUUUGAGGAUAUGUUGUAAAUAAUUAUAAAAGCAUGUUAAAAAUUUGAAGAGUUUAAAUUUGAAUGAAAUUUUGUAACUCGAUUUAAUACUUUUACAUGUGUAAGUGUUCUAGUAAUGCCUCAUACCCUAUUCUGGAGUUGAAUAUGGGUAAUGGGUGUAACAGUUUAAAGACAUAAAGUUGCUAGUUGGGAUUCUUGAAUUAAAAGAAUUUAUCAUACUGGUAGAUCGAACUCAGAAAGCUGAUGAGCUGAAUAAAGAAAGAAACAAGUUGAAAUGGAAGCCAGAACUUCAAGUAAAAGAUUUCUGAGAAAGUCACAACAAUCGACCUCAAAGAAAUCGAAGAAAUAUCAUGAUCAUUUUACCACCUUUACAGGGUAUUCGGGGAGAGACAGAAGUAUUCAACGCUCUAAUCCAAGAUCUCAAGCUAUAUCUGUAGCGAGUGUAGGCAGUAUUGAAAAUUCCAAACCCAGAUGCAAACAUUGUAAUAAACUGCAUUUUAGUGAGUGCCGCAUGAGAAGCUGAGCAUGUUUUAGAUGUGGUUCCUUUGACCACUAUUUCAGAGACUACCAAGAAAAGCCUGAAAAAUAUAUUGUUCAAACUUCAAGGCCGAGCAACCCCGCUACAAGAGGCAGACCACCUCGUAACCCCAGCAAUGUCAGCAAAAGUUAAGGUACGAAAAAAGAUUCAACUGUCAAAUCUGAAGCACGAGCACCAGUAAGGACAUAUGCUAUUCGUGCACGUGAGGAUGCCUCUGCACCCGUUGUCAUCAUUAGUACUUUUUUUCUUCUUGAUACUGAUAUAAUUGCUUUAAUUGAUCCUGGUUUGACACAUUCAUAUAUUUGCAUGAAUUUAGUGAAUAAUAAAAAAUUACCUAUUGAGUCCACUGAAUUCCUGGUUAAAGUAUCAAACCCCUUAGGCCAAUAUGUGAUGAGGGAUAAAAUUUGCAAGAAUUAUCCUUUAAUGAUACGGAGUUAUUGUUUCCUGGUCGAUUUGAUGUUAUUACCAUUUGAUGAAUUUGAUGUAAUUCUGGGUAUGGAUUGAUUAACUCAGUAUGAUGCCGUGGUAAAUUGCAAUGAAAAGCAUAUUGUGUUGAAAUGUCAGAAUGGUGAAAUGAUCUGUAUUGAAUCUGUUAAAUGGGAUGAUUUGUCUAAUGUGAUAUCAGCCAUGUCAGCAUAGAAAUAUUUCAGAAAAUGGUGUAAUGCUUAUCUUACUUAUGUACUGGAUACUAAAGUGUCUGAAUCAAAGAUCAAAUCAGUGCUAGUUGUCUGUGAGUAUUCUGAUGUGUUUCCGGAAGAGUUACCCGGGUUACCGUCGGUCAGAGAGGUUGAAUUCUCUAUAGAUCUUAUACCGGGAACAACACUAAUAUCUAUAACACCCUACAUAAUGACUCUUACUGAAUUAAAAGAGUUGAAAGCACAAUUGCAAGAACUGGCUGACAGAGGUUUUGCUCGACCUAGUUCUUCACCUUGGGGUGCACCAAUUCUGUUUGUUAAGAAGAAAGAUGGAUCCCUUAGGUUAUGUAUUGAUUACAAACAACUCAACAAAGUCACAAUUAAGAAUAAGUAUCCAUUACCUCGUAUUAAUGAUUUGUUUGACCAGUUGAAAGGUGCUACAGUAUUGUCAAAGAUUGAUCUUCAUUCUGAUUAUUAUCAGUUACGAGUAAAAGACUCGGAUGUGUCGAAAACAACCUUCAGAACCUGGUAUGGGCAUUACGAAUUCCUUGCGAUGUCGUUUGGUUUAACAAAUGCACCUGCGGUAUUUAUGGAAUUAAUGAAUAGAAUUUUCAGACAGUAUCUGGAUAGAUUUGUGGUGGUAUUCAUUGAUGAUAUCCUGGUAUAUUCCCAAGAUGAAAUUGAACAUGCUGAUCAUUUAAAAAUUGUUCUGUGAACUCUAUGUGAGAAAAAAUAGUAUGCCAAAUUUAGCAAAUGUGAAUUUUGGCUUCGAAAAGUUGGUUUUCUUGGACAUAUAAUCUGCUGAAGGCAUUAGAGUGGAUCCGAAUAAAAUUUCAGCCAUUGUUAACUGGAAACCACCAAAAAAUGUGUCUGAAGUCAAAAGUUUUCUGGGAUUAGUCGGUUACUAUCGUAGAUUUGUAAAAGAGUUUUUGAUGAUAGCUUCUCCGAUGACACGGUUGUUACAAAAAGAUGUAAAAUUUGAAUGGACUGAUAAAUGUCAACAAAGUUUUGACCGAUUGAAAACCCUAUUGACUGAAGCACCAGUUUUAGUUCAGCUUGAAUCGGGUAAGCAAUUUGUGAUUUACAGUGAUGCAUCAUUAAACGGUUUAGGUUGUGUUUUGGUGCAAAAAGGUAAAGUAAUAGCCUAUGCUUCUAGACAGCUAAAAUCGCAUGAAAAGAAUUACCCGAUACAUGAUUUAGAAUUGGAAGAUAUUGUUUUUGCGUUAAAAAUCUAGCGACACUAUCUAUUUGGUUAAAAAAAUACUAUAUAUUCACCGAUCAUAAAAGCUUAAAGUAUUUGAUGUCGCAAAAAGAUUUGAAUUUGAGACAGCGCAGGUGGCUUGAAUUGUUGAAAGAUUAUGAUUUGAUUAUCAACUAUCAUCUGGGAAAAGUAAAUGUUGUUGUAGAUGCUCUAAGUAGAAAGUCUCUGUUUUCCUUGCGAGCAAUGAAUACCCGAUUGUCUUUAUCUAAUGAUGGUUCGAUCUUAGCCGAGUUAAAAGCUAGAUUAACAUUUUUGCAACAGAUCUAUGAAGCUUAGAAAAGUGAUGAUGAGUUGAAAGCUAAACAGAUACAUUGUGAGUCAACUUCUGAUUCAGAAUUUCAGAUUGGACCUGAUGAUUGUCUGUUGUACAAAGGCACAGUAUGUGUACCGAGAAAUUCAGAGCUUGUACAGAAGAUUUUACACGAAGCUCAUAAUGGUACUAUCUCUAUUCAUCCGGGGUGUAAUAAAAUGUACAAUGAUUUGAAAAAGAUGUACUGGUGGUUGGGAAUGAAACGUGAUAUUUCUGAAUUCGUAUCUAGAUGUUUGAUAUGUUAGCAAGUCAAAGCUAAACAUCAGGUACCUUCAGGAUUAUUACAGCUAGUCACGAUACCGGAAUGGAAAUGGGAAAAAGUUAUUAUUGGUUUUGUAUCGGGGUUACCCCUAUCUCUGAAAAAGAAAGAUGCUAUUUGGGUAAUUGUCGAUCGUUUGACGAAGUCUGCACACUUUAUUCUGGUACGUAUGGAUUUCUCCCUGGAUAGGUUGUCUGAGUUAUAUGUUUCUGAGAUUGUCAGAUUACAUGGUAUACCAGUUCUUAUUAUUUCUGAUAGAGAUCCUCGGUUCACAUCUUGAUUCUGGAACAAAUUACAGGAAGCUUUGGGUACGCAAUUACAUUUCAGUACUGCAUUCUAUCCUCAGACUGAUGGUCAAUCUGAACUUGUAAUACAGAUUCUAGAAGAUAUGCUUCAGUGUUGUGUUUUAGAAUUCGAAGGUAAUUGGGAAAAGUAUCUGCCUUUAGUUGAAUUUGCAUAUAAUAAUAGCUAUCAGUUAAGCAUAAAGAUGACACCGUAUGAAGCUCUGUAUGGUCGUAAAUGUAGAACUCUGUUGUAUUGGACUGAACUCAGUAAGAAAAAGAUACACGGAGUUGAUUUGAUUCGUUAAACCGAAAAAAAAGAGAAAUUAAUCCAUGAUAGCUUAAAAGUAGCUUCUGAUCGCCAGAAAACCUAUGCGGAUCUUAAACGUAAAGAGAUAGAGUUUCAAGUUGGCGACAAUGUAUUUCUGAAAGUUUUACCUUGGAAGAAAUUUCUUCGGUUUGGUUGUAAAGGAAAACUAAGUCCGCGAUUUAUCGGGUUAUAUGAGAUUAUUGAAAGAAUUAGACCUGUUGCGUAUUGAUUAGCUCUACCACCAGAACUUGAUAGAACUCACAAUGCCCUUCACACGUUAUUUCUCCAACAGAGGUCAAAAUUUAGCCUAACAUGACUUACAGUGAGGAACCGAUCAAAAUUCUGGCACGUGAGACGAAAGAAUUGAGAAAUAAAAAGGUAAUUUUAGUAAAACUUUUUUGCCAACGACACAGGCUAGAAGAAGCUACCUUGAAACUAGAGGAAACAAUGAAGAAGCAAUAUCCAAACCUCUUUACUGGUAAGAUUUUUGCGGACGAAAAUUUUUAAAAGGGGAGAGUUGUAACAUCCCAUUUUUAGUGAAAUCGAAACACUAGUUUCGGGAUCACAAAUUCAAGUUCAAAAAAAUUCAUUUUAAUAUUAUUUUAUGGUCUACCAUAUGAUAGAAAUAUCAUAUACAAAUUUCGUUAAGAAAAUUUUACUGAUUACAUGUUUAAUUGAUGAAAGGACCAAAUUGUAUGAAAUGUAAAAGUUGAAUUCUAGUAGCUAAAAGGAUCAAAUAGCUAUGGAAUUCGAAAUUUGAUGUCGUUAUAUGACAAAUAGACCAUUAAGAGGAGUUAGUAGAUAAGUAUGAUGAUUUAUCCAUGGAAAAUUAAAUAAAGAAAAGGACUAAAUUGGAAAGAUGAAAUAAUAAAAGAUGAUAUUUUAAUUAAAUAAUAAAUAUUAUCAUUUUAUAUAAUCUUUCCCAAAUAAAAAAAAACAUGGAAACCCUAGUUUAGAAGAGCUUGAAGAUAGCAAGUUAUUUUGGCUCAAUUAGGUGAGUAUUCAAGUCUCGUUUUUAAUGAUUUUUAUAUUUCCGAGAUCGUAAUAGCUUAAUCUAGCCAUCUCGCGGAUUAAUUUGUAAAGUUAUCAAAGUACUAGGGUUUUGUCAUGGAUGAAUAUGCAAGAAUUGUGAAUUUUUAUGGUAGAAAAUGAAAGGUUGUUGAUAGAUAAACAACUUUUGUAAAGUGAAUUUUGUUGAAAUGGUUAUUUAAGGACUAAAUUGUAAAGAUGUAAAAUUCAUGGAAAAUUCUAAAUUUUAUGAAAUACAUGGGCUGCUAAUGUUAUAUGUAAAAAUCGGCUAGGCUCGAAAUAAUGAUUAAAUUGCAUGAAUUUCAUUUUCCGAGCCUAGGGAUGAAAUUGUCAUUAAUUAAAAGUAUAGGGGCAAAAUGACAAUUUUGCCAAAGAUGUGAAUUGAAUUGAAAAAAAUAUGAAUUGAUGUUAAAUUCAUUUAUUUAGAUACGGAUAGACCAAAUACAGAAUUGGAUUGAGGAAAAGAAAAAGUGUCGGACUAGUAGAUUACAAAUACACGAACACUUGUCAAGUAAGUUCGUGUAACUAAAUUGUAUAUUUAUAUAAUUGUAUUGAAUGUAGUGUAUGUGAAUUGUAUUGCUGCUAUGUACUUGAAAUUAAUCUUGUAUCCGACUAUGCCUGACAAAUAUAAGUCCCAAUUGAAUAUAUAAAAUUCGAUGGAUACAAUGUUUUUGUAUUGGUUGUGGUCCUGCAUAUGUUGCGGACACACCACAACUCCGAAAGGGUGUCCCGUUAUUAGCCCUCUCAAGCUCCCCAUUAUAUAGUUCCUGCGAGCUUCCCGUUAAUAGCUCUUUGGAGCAUUUCGAUAGGUUGUGAUCCUGCAUGUGUUGUGGACACAUCACAACUCUUAUAAGCGUCCCAAUAUAUGGCUCUUCGUGAGCUUCUCGAUUAAAGGCUCUUUGUGAGCUUCCUAAUUAAUGUCUUUCCAAAGCUUCUUGAUAUGACUUCCCUGAACUUCCCGGUAUAUGGCUAUUCGGAGCUUUCAGUUAAUGGCUCUUCAGAGCUACCUGUUAUUGGCUCGCAUGAGCUUCUUGAAUAUGGCUCUUAUAAGCUUCCCGUUAUGCAGCCUAGAUAAGCUUCUCGUUAUACAACUCACAUGAGCUUCCUGUUAUAUGGAUCGAGAGAGGGCUUCCUGAUUAUGUGCUCGUAUGAGCCUUCCCAAAUAAGAAUGGAUGAAUUACAGUUUUGUACACUUCAAGUGUACUACCUGUGUAUCCUUCGAUAUUUUAAAUAAAUUCAACAGGCAAAGUUCCGACAUGGGAUAAUCUGAACUUAAGAUGAAUUAUUAUGGAAAUGUAUAUGUUAUAUGAAUAUAUGAUGUGGAAAACAUAUGUAUAUGAAAAUUGUUACAUGAUGAGCUCAUCCUUAUUUCUUGAUAUUCACAUGAAGUACAUAACUAACAUGUUUCUUAAGGUUAUAUAUGUUUAGGAAAAUUCCCAAAUUUCUUUGGAUGAAUUUUGCAUGCUUAUUUUAAAUAAUUUUCCAUUAUAUGAACUUACUAAGCAUAAAAUGCUUACUCUAUUUUACUUUCCUCUGUUCUAUAGUAUUUCGGAAGCUCAUUGGUUGGAAGCUUGGCAAAGAUAUCAUCACACUAUCCAUCGACUCAUCUCGGUAUAUUUAGUAAAUCAACUUUGGUAUGAUGGCAUGUAUAGGUUAAAUUGGCCAUUGAUGGCAGGUAAAUGUUUUGUUGUGAUUAGCCAUUUGAAUGACUUAUGUUUGAUACAGUUUGAUAUGUAUAAGUACAUGGGCUUAUCAUGUUUGAUAUGUGUUUUAGUAUAAUUGAUUGAUGGUUAACUAAUAGGCAAAUUGUAACAUGGCUUGAGUUGGUAUAGUUGGUACAUAUAUGAAUAUAUAUAAAUAAGUGAUCAAAUUUUUAAGCAUGGAUACUUGAUUAGAUAAGAUGAUAUGAUUUGCAUAAGACUUGGUUUUGGUUUGAUUCAAAUAUUUUAUAUUGGAUUGGGAAGGUGUUUAAGUGUUAAUGUAGGUGGAAGACAAGUUUGGGUGACAAAUAAGGCUUGAAAAUGACCUUAUUUUGCCUACACGGGCAGAGACACGGUCGUGCGUCUCAGCCAUAUGUGACACACGACCUAGCACAUGGGCGUGUAUCUUGGCCGUGUGUCCCCUGCAUCUUUAAAAUUUCAAAAUAGAAUGCUUAGAAUUGAUCACACGGCCUGGCACACAGGCGUGUGGCUUGGCCAGGUGACCCAUGCACCUACACAUGACCUAGCACAUGAGAGUGUGACUUGAGCGUGUGACCUAAGUCAGAGAGUUACACAGGUAUGGACAAGGGCUAGGACAUGGCCAUGUGCCCAAUUUCGAAUGCCCACAGGCCUGACCACACGAGCGUGUGUCCCCUGUACCUUAGAAAAAUUUUAAAAUUCUGUGAAAAAUAUUUUGAGUACCCGAUUUAAACCCGACUUGUUUCUAAUGCAUAUUUUGGGCAUCGAGGGCUCAUAUAAGGGACAUUAUGAUUAAUUAUGAUCGAUUUCUGAUAUGAAUGUUAAAUGUUAUGAAAUAUCUGUAUUUGAUCUGAAUAUUUUGGUAAUGCGUCAUAACCCUGUUCCGGUUUCGGAUAUGGGUUAGGGGUGUUACAUUUUUGUUCUAUUCUUUCACACUUCCUUCAAAACCAAAAUAAUAAAUAUUUAAUUUUACUUAUAAUAUAUCAUCAACGACGCUCAAGGUUUUUAGAAUUUACUAGUAAGUGAACCGAUUAGACUAUCGGUUCUCAGUUCAACUAGUUUGACCGAUCCAAUCGGUUCGAUUGAAUAAAUUAUUAAAAAUAAAAAAUAGCUAAAAAUAGAUCAAAUAUAUUCGACUGUUGAUUUAGUCGGUUCGAUCGGUUCAACCAGUUCCCGAGUCAACCAAUCUGGUCCGCUAUUCUAGAUUGGUACUUCGACCGAUUCCCAAUCCAAUCAGUCUGAUCGGUUGGUCUGAUCCAUUUCUAAAAUUUGUGACGAAGCUUCAUGCAUUUAAUAUAGUUUCCAUAAUUUUAGUUUAUAAACCCCUAGCUUUUAAUUUAUAAUUUCCAAAAUUAGGCUUGUAACACCCUUUGCUCGACCUAAUCACUAGGUCCAAGCUAAAUUAUGCAUCAUUCGUUGUUAGAGCAACUAUAAAAAAUUAUACACCGUUCAAUCAUUCAACAUGUAAAUAAGUAUCAUUCAAAUUCAUAAUAAGUUACACGAUCGUUUUCGGGUCUCAUAUGAGCUUACAAAAGUUCUUUUACUAACUCGAGUAUGAAUUAGGAUCGAAAUGUGACCUUUUAAAAAUCUUGGGCCAACGUCAUGACUUCAUAAUAUCCUCGUCGUGACAUUGUUAACUUAGUGAGUUAUGUCAUGAUGUCAUGUAUAUCCAUGUCGCGAUGACUCUCAUUGUCGGACGACAUUACUACGUCAGGGAUUCAUGAUCGCGAAGUUGCCCCUAUUUUGGUAAAAUGCACAUUUGGUACCUAAUAAAUUGAUUCCAAACCUUCAUCUAAAUAUUUUUAUUCAAUCUUCCACAAAUAAUAAGCCAUUAAACAAUGCUAAUGAUAAUCAAAUUCAAGUAUAUAACCAUUUAAACCAACUAUUUUUUAUCAUAGAAUUCAAUCAUUCAAUAUUUAGACAUAUUCAAAUCAAUUUGAUCUAUCCAUACUAAAACACUUCUAUUACCAACUUAAGCAAGUUUCAUUAUACCAACUGCUAACCAAACACUUCAAAAAGUUUGACAUGAAUCAAUCAAACCAUACACUAUGCUUUAACAAUAUAAUUUUCAGUGGUGUUGAAAACAGUGGUUUCGGUAUCACAAAUUCGACGAGUAAGUUCGUAUAAUUAGUAUUUAAAUUAUACGAGUCAAUAAUAAUAUUUAUAUUGAAUUUUGAUUUGAUGAUUUUUAAACAAUUGCAUUCAAAGUUAGUAUAAGUGGUUUAGUUCAAAAGUCAAGUGGUUAUUGAAAACAAGGUAUUAGGACCUCAUUUUCGUAAUUUAAAGUUGUAAAUAUUUUUAUUAAAUAUUUAUAGAGUCGUAUUAUAUAUGAAUUGAAGUUGGGUCCCGUAAUUUUGAUGAUUUAUUGCUUAAUUAAGGUAAAAAAAAUUAAAUUGUAAAAGAGGAAAAAGUUAAUUGCUAUAGAUUUAAAAUAGUAAAAGGAUCAAAAUGGUAAUUAAACCAUGGUCGAAAAGUCCAAGCGGUGGUGGCAUGAUUAAAUCCACUAACUCUUGGGCUAUUUUCUUUUUUAGUCCUAAUUAGUUUAGGAUUAAAUUGUAAUUAAGUUUAUUUAGUUGGAAUUUAAAAUAAUAUGGUAAGAAAAGUGGAGAAUUCUCUAGAAAAGUGGAGAAUUCUCUAGAAUGUGUUUUAAAUUUCUUUAAUUAUUAUUUUAAAUGUUUUAAUUAAAUUAAAGUAAAAAUAUUAUGAUAAUAAAAAGGAAACAAAAAGAAAAAAAGGACUUACCUUUCUUAUUUCUUCUUCCAAGCGGCCGAACCUCCAUUUUUAGAGCUUGAGGAACUUCGGUUGAGUUUUAGUUGCAUGUUAGGUAGGUUAUCCUUGCCCGUUUUUAGCGAUUUUUAUAUUUUCGAGUUCGAUUUAGCUUGAUCUAGCUAACUGAGGAUUAAUUUGUAAAACUGUCAAAUGUUAUGGAUUAUGUAAUUGAUGAUUUUUGUGUGCUGUUGAAGUUUUAUAAUAAAUUAUUAAGCUUGAUUUUUAAAUAAGACUAUUUUGUAAAAUAAUUUUUAGUUAUUUUAAUGUUUAAGGACUAAAAUGUUAAAGUGAUAAAAUUACAAGGAAUUGAUGGGAAAUAAUUGCAAAAAUGGGCUUAGAAAGGCACUUGGAUAUUCGACUAAGCUGAAAGUUGAAUAAAAAUGGUUAAAUUGCAUGUUUUGAAUUUAGGGACUAAAUUGCAUAAAAGUAAAAUAUUGGAGACAAUUUCGUAAAAAUGUCAAAAAGAAAUUAAUUGCAUAAAAUGAUUUCAUUUAACUGUUGGAAUUAGUGAAUUUAAUGAAAUUAUUAUUUUAGAUCAAGAAAGAGUGAAAAAUCGAGGAAAAGAGAAAAUUACCAAAUAGCCUAUGUACUUUGUCGUUGCUGCAGUUUAGUCUAGUAAGUUCGUACAAUUUAAUUUUAGUAUAUUUUUAAAUGUAUUAUAUGAACCUAAUUGCAUAAUUUUGGAUUAUAUUGAUGUGUGUAAUGGAAAAUGAAAAUAAUAUAUUGACACAACGUCGAUCAUUAACUGAGCUACUCUAGACCGUUACUACAAAUCAGUGAUGUACAUUAGUUUAUUUGAUAUUGCUUUGAUUAUACAAAUGAAUUGGUGAACCAUAUAAGCACACUGUUAUGGAAAUUAUGAAGCGAUGAAAGUUGAGGAGAUGAAUUACAGGAGAUUAUAGUGUUUACUAGAUAUAUCGAGGUCCUCCAUGUGUUAUGAACUAAUUCGAUAUAUUGCAUAUGGUGUGCUAGAUGGAUUGGCUGAUACGAGCUUACAGUUGAUUCAGAAUGACCCCAAGGUAGCUCGCCUAGCAACACCGAAACUAACCCAAGAGAGUAGCUUCAUGCAAUUACUAUUCGAGAUGAAAAAGGGUUAGUUGAAUCUAAACUAGAAUCGAGGCAAGAAAGUGUGGUAAUAAAGGUAAGGUUGAGGCACGCUAAAAUGAGCAAAAAUCGAUUGGUAAGGAAUAUAAACCUCGUGUGCCAUAUCCCAACGUGACAAAGAAAGACCAUAUUCCGUUUAUUGAAGCUCUUUCGUAGAUGCCCAAUUCUGUUAAAUUUUUAAAGGAGCUUUUGGCAAACAAACGAAAGUUAGAUGAUUCGUCGCAUGUGGAGCUAAAUGCAGUAUGCUCAGCUAUUUUGCAAAAUAAACUACCCAACAAAUUGAAAGAUCCAAAGAGUUUUACUAUUCUUUGUUUAAUUGGUAGUUUAAAUGUUAAUAAUGCUUUGGUUGAUUUAGGGGCUAGUAUUAAUGCUAUAAAAUGUUUAAACAAUUAGGUCUUGGGAAUCCCAAACAAACUAGGAUGAGUAUACAAUUAGCAGAUAGAACCUUUAGAUUUCCUAGGAGUAUUAUUGAAGACAUACUUGUAAAAAUUGAUAAAGUCAUAUUCCCAGUUGAUUUCGUUGUUUUAGACAUAGAUGAGGAUAGCGACGUACCUUUGAUUCUAGGUCGGCCCUUUUUAGCAACUGCUAGAACUAUUGUUGAUGUUGGUACAGGUGAAUUAAUACUACGUGUAGGUGAUGACACAAUUACUCUCUAAGCUCGUGAUUCUGCUAGGAUAUCUAGUGAUCGAGAUGAUUAUACGAAUUCUGUUAAUAUAAGUAACCUUGUGGCUCGAACUUCUUUGCAAGAAACCCCUCAGAAGAACGUGAUGGAGCCACGUUCUAGUCCAUGCGACAAAAACAGAACAACUCAUGAAGAACAAAUGCUACAGAUCGAUGAACUAGACGAAUGGCGGACACAUGUUAAGGAGAAACCGAGAAUACACGAUGUAGAAGCAAAGCUACACCAUGAUGAGUAUGUGGAUGAAACAAACCAAAUUAAGGUUAGGGACAAGGUAUUGCUAGAUAAAACAGAUUCUCAAAUUGCCAUUUCAGAGUUUAAUACAAAUAGAGUAACUCCUUUUAGAGUACUGGAUGUCUUCCCAUACGGUACAGUCGAGGUAACUCAUUUUGAAUUCAGUACUUUUAAGGUAAAUAUUAUUUGACUCAAAUAUUAUUUUGAUAAUAGAAUUGACAGUGAGAAAGAGGAGUUUCGACUCUGCGAACCAUCGUGACCGUGCGAAUACAUGGUAAGUCGAGCUUAGACUUUAAAUAAGUGCUUCUCGGGAGGCAACCCCAGUGUUAACAAUGCUAAUUUUCUUAUUUUUAUUUCACAGUAUUUUUAAAAUUAAAUAAAAAAGUGUGUUUUUUGACCCACACAGCCUGGACACACGGGCAUGUCCCAGGCUGUGUACACUAUAAGGGGUUCAACAGUGAGUUACACGGCCUGGAAAAAUGGUCGUGUGACCCAUACGGCCUAGACACACGGGUGUGUCCUUGGCCGUGUGGAUCUUCAGACUUAGUUUUAAAAUUUUAAGGAAAUCAACAGUGAGUUACACAGCCUGGCAACACGGCCGUGCAACCUACACGGCUUGGCAACAUGGCCGUGUAACCUACACGACCUGGCGACACGGUCGUGUAACCUACACGGCUUGGAGACACGGUCGUGUAACCUACACGAACUAGACACAUAGGCAUGUCCUUCGCCAUGUGGAUCUUGGGAUUUAAUUUUUUAAAAAUUAAUAAAGACACAACCUAAAAUAGUCCACACGGGCAUGUGACAAGCCGUGUGAAACCUGGAGCUAAUUUUUUUAUUUUUAAAUCAAGUCAGAGAGUUACACGAGCAAGGCCGAGCCACACGGGCGUGUGGGAGCUCACACGGGCUUGAGAGAAGCGAACGAGGUUGCACACGAUCAUGUGAAGACUGGGUUAAAAAUUUAAUCGCACACGAGCUGAACAGGAACCGCACGGGCGUGUGACACGGCUGUGUGGCCCAACAUGGGCCUUACACGACCGUGUCACCCUUUUAAAAAAACCCUAAUCCCUUUUAUUUUUGUUUUGUCUUCUUCUUCAUCUUCCUUUUCAACCCUUGCCGCCACUCCCCAAACACCAAAACCUUAGCCAACGCUCCCCAUUCUCGCCACCGUUGCCGUUUGGUCCACCAAACCCAACCCCCUUCUUUUUUCUUUUUCCCUUUCCAAGCUCCCACCGCCGCACCCACCUUUUCCCCUUGCCCCUCUCUCCCUCACCUCUCCUUCACCCAAACCGCCGCGUCACCCUCUCAAAUCGACCCCCAGAACCGUCUCAUUCGCGUGCCGCCGACCUCACUCCCCCAUUCCUCGUUGCACUUUUCCCCUCAUCCGAACUACCACCCCCGCGCUGUCCCUCUCCAAGCUUCGGCCACCCACCAUCAGUUUUCCCUCUUUUUUGCCCUUUUCUUUUAUUUACUUAUUAUUAUUUAUUUAUUAUCUGUUCAUUUUUAUUAUAUUUAUUAUUUUGUUUUCUUAUUCUGUUUAUUUUUUUAUUAUGUUUAUUCCUGGUUUUAUUUUAUUUUAUUUUGUUCUAUUAUUUAGCUUUGUCAUUAUGUGCAUUAGUUUGUCCCUUUUAGUUUAGUUUGUUUUAUUUUCAUUAUUUGUUAGUUUUCUUAUUAUUUUCCAUCAUUUUUCUAGCUCUAGUAAUUGUUGUUGACUUACUGUUCUCUUAUGUUAAUGAUUCAUUUUUUUGUCUUCUCAUUAUCUUCGUAUUCUUAUUAUUAUUGGUGUUAUUGUUUUGAUUAUUCUUCGUAUUAUCAUUUCAUUAUUUAUGUGUAUACUUUUUUUUAUUUUGGUGCUUGCAUUAUCAGGUAUUAGUACAUAUUCCUUUAAGACUAGAUUUCUGUUUUACCUCUUAGGAUUUUUCAUUUAUCGGCCUCUGUUGCGUGUUUGGUGAGGCCUUAUUUAUUCAGUAUUGACUUUUUUUAUUUUCAGGCACACCAUGACAAACACUUGCAGUAAAUCCAAGGUCAUUGUUCCCGCUUCGAAAAAACAGAAGACACCUAGUACAACCUCCUCCUCGAGCGCCUCCGUUGAAGCCCGCCACCCUUAUCUCUAGUUUUCUACGAGCCCUCAAGAGGAUUUAUUUCAGCUACUUCGACAGUGCCUACUUGGCCUAGGCCGAUGCAUUGAUUGGGAAGCGUUAGAGCAGGUCCACCUAGUUGAUCACGUGAACGCCUUUAUUACCACAGCCCCGUGGGACCGAUUUUUAUCCAUCAUCGAGCCCACAUAUAUGGAGCUCAUAUAUGGAGCUUACUUUGGAGUUUUGUUUUACAUUUAUUCUACAGCAGGUCAUGACGACUCAUGACGAGCCAGCACCAUCACUUUCAGACUCGGUAGCUUGGUGCGCCAUAUGAAUGUCCUCGAGUUUGGCGCUGCUAUGGGACUCUACACUGAGGAGUUUAUGAGUGUCGAGAACUUUCUUCACCUACAUUAGCACAUCCAUUACUCGCCAUCUCGUUGUUGGGCAGAGCUUACGGCGAGUAGGACACUUUAUUAUGCAAGUUGCUUGAAGGCGACUUCUCUCUCUCUGGCAUUACGGUAUCUUCAUGCCCUUUUAGCUCACACUUUGAUCGACAGGAGAGAGAGCAUCGGAUUCGUCAGUACUAUUGAUGCUUAUUUUCUAUGGAGCAUGACCACCGGACAUAUCUUUGAUUUGGCAUACUUCAUUGCCUUAGCCUUCCGCCAUCAGACUGACUGCCACAGGAAGGGUCUCAUCUGUUUAGGCCCUUAUGUGACUCGACUUGCUAGACACUUCGGUCUCCUCGACACACUGGAGCAGUCCUCUACACUUACACUCGUAUGAUCGAGCGUGAUCAUAUGAGGAUGAUCCAUAUGAGGAUGAUCGAGCGACGUCAUGGAGUAGAUCCUCUUCAGUACCGAUUAGUUCAUUCUGACCUUCAGAAUGAACCCGGGGACUUCACUGAUAAUGUCCCCUUCCAUCACGAAGACCUACCUCAGCCUCCACCUUCGAGUCACCGCCCUGUUUCUUCUACUGCUACUUUGACAGACCUCUUCGAGCGGUUCACUUGCUUCAAGCAGCACUGCUUUCAGAUAUUCAAUAGUAUUGAUGCGACAUUGCAGUAGAUUUGUCAGCAUUUUCAUAUCUCCUCCUCAGCUUCGACGACUCACGACACCGACAUUUCUGAUGAUAAGGACCAUUGAGUCUAUUUGUUUUAUUUUAUUUUAUUUUUAUUUUUAUGUUUAUUGUUAUUUUCUUAAACUUAUUUGGUUUUUACCUUUUGAACUAUAUUUUUAUUUUUUAUGGUUAUUUCUAAUCGAGUUAGUAACCCUUAAUCUUCUUCAAUAGUUGUGUUUUUUUCUUAAUAGUUUGCUCGGAAUCAUGCACUACAUCUAGGUUUGUCUACAAUUUCGCUUUUCACUAUUCUGGAGGUUUCAUCCAAUAUUAAUGGCAGUUUCAGUUUUCUCCCUCUCUUAUGAUAUUUUGUUUAUACUGUGAUCAUAUCUAUUUGUACAUUGCAGACAAUGUACAUCUGAAGUGUGGGGAGGUUAUUUAUAUAAUUAUUAGAAAAUUCCUGAAUUAUGUCUUAUGUUUAAGUAAUUUUCUCAUACCUCUAUUAGAAUAAAUUUUUUAUCGAUUCGUGAUGUUUAUUGAUGUGUUUUGGAUUAAAUUCAUAGGUAUUUGUGCAUUGAUUGUUUUAAACUUUAAGACAUGAGAGAAUCAAGCAUGAUAAGUUUAUUUUCAGAAUUAAAAAUUUUAAGUUGUUUCCCUGAAUUGAGGUAUUAUCUUGAAGUUUUAGAUUUACAAGAUUGACAUCAAAAAUCAUAAUUUUUUGUGAGAUUUUAAGCCUUUAGAGCAUACAUUUUUCCUGCUCAUUUUUAUUAUUGGUUAUGAGUGUGUCAAUAUUGAUUUGUUAUUCUAGAACUUGCUUCGAUUAUGCAUGUUGAGACCAUACUUUUGAUUUGAUAUACUGAGAUGAUAAAGGAACUUAGGUUUUAAACCACUUAUCCUAUAAAAAGCCUACCUACAUAAUUAACCAUUAAUGAACCCCUUUGAGCCUAACACACAGUUCUUGAUUCACCCAUUAAUUUUAACCCUUAACUUAUUGUUUUUGCUCAUUAAGAAUUUUUCAUGUUUUAUUGACUCCAUUUUUAUUGAGAUUUGAUUUGGUUAAUUGCCUGAUUAAGCUUUUUGUUUACGUUGCUGAAUUAUUUCUUAUUGCUCUCAAUUAAAAAAUACAUAUAUAUUGAUUAUUAUUUAGUUCUAUGUUAAUUGAGCUUGAACAGUUAAAUUCAUAUUUUGAGAAGAAGCUCGUGUUAUUCUUGAAUAGUUUUCGAUUGAUGUAAUUGUUUUUAAUUUAGCAUUUGUUUAUUUUUUAGUUUAGUAAUUUAUCAAUUCAAUCUCGAUUUUAACCAACUUUUUUAGCCUUUCUCCACACCAUUUAACCUAAGCCCAGUUACAACCUUUUAAAGACAUUUUGAUUUGUGUAUCAUCUCAUUUUAUAGUGGUAAAGAUUUGAUUUUCAUGCAAGCCUAUGGUAAUGACUUUUCGUGUUUGACUAUUGAGUGCUUAUUUUUGAACCUUAAACACUUUGAGUGAUUUGAGUGAAUCUUUAGUGAGGGUGUCAAUUCUUGUCGAUUUUGAAUUAAAGGUAAAUACUUAAAUAAGGGGAAAUACCUAUGUUUUCAUGCUUUAAAAAUGUUCGACUUGGAUUGUUUGAAUCUUUAGUGCUCUUUUAGUUGAAUUAUCAAUGUAUGGUUAUUUAUGAAUUAUGACGAAACAUCAUUGAUGAGAAUUAUGAGUUGAGAAAUAUUAAUUUUAAUUGUGAGUUGAGGAUUUUGCUUAAAGACAAACAAACGCCUAAAUGUGGGGAUAUUUGAUAAACCAUAAAAGUAACAUGUUUUUAAUCCCAUUCUUGAUGCGUUUUUGGAUGAUUUAUUAUGUAAAUUAGUGAAUUUGAUGCUCCUAAUCCUUUAAAUUCAUGUUUCUAUACUUAGGUGAGAAUAGGGGAGCGAAAGGAAUGAAAAACAAGCCAAAAUCGAGCAAAAAGAGUUAUUUUCAACAUCUACACGGCCUGAGCAUUUCCACACGGGUUGGCCACACGCCCAUGUGCUAACUCAUGUCCAUUUUGCACCCUGUUUCCCAAACACACAGAAAAACCUAAUUUUUAGGCUUUCUAAGCAUUCUAAAGUUUAUAAAUAUCAAUUAGAAGAAAAUCUAAGAGAGCACGCAGAGAAGAUUAAAGAAAUUACUCGAAGAACACCAUCAUAGCCAACUUAUAAGCGGAUCUCUUUCAAGAUUGAAGAUCUCCUUUUAACUUCUUUCGAAGUUUAUUUGAAUUUCUUUAUGUCUUGUAAUUUUUCUGAAUUCGAGAUGUUUUUAUUUCAGAUUAUGAACUAAAUUUCCUAGAUACCUAAGGAAGAUGAAACUUAUGAUGAAUCUUAUUAUUUGAUUUCUGAAUUACAUGAUAAAUACUUGAUUCUUAUUCUCAAUUAUGUAUGCUUAUUUCGUGUUUUAAUAUUUUUGGGAUAUUAAUUCAUGUUUAAUGUGCUUAUUUCAGUGGAGCAAAAGUCCCUGUUUAAGAGUAGAUCUAGCAUAAUUGAGUGGAGUUGCAUGCAAUCCUAGAAAUAGGGCGACAUAAAUCUACCAGAUUAGAGUCAAAUCUAAUAGGGGAAUCCAUAGAUCGAGUUAAUGCGAUAAUAGGGGUUUUAAUUAGAAAGUGAUUUCAAUUAAUCAACCUAGAGUCAGUUUUUCUUACUCUCGAAUGAGAUAUUAACAUAAUUUAGGGAUUUCUACGGAUCAAGACACAAGUAAAUAAAUCAUUUAAUUCGGAUUCAGAAUAAUAAGUGAAGUCUAGGUUGAUUCUUUCCUGGAUAUUGCCUUUCUCUUUGGCAUCUUCAAUUAUUUCAUAUUUCAUUUUCUGUUGUGUUCUUAGUUAAAUUAGAUUAGUAAAUUUAGAUUAAAAACAAUCAUCCCAAUUUAUCGGCUAAAUAAUAGAAAAAUAAUAAUUACUAGUACUUUUAGUCCUCGUGGAUACGAUAUUCCCUACUCACCAUAACUAUACUAUUGUUCGAUAGGUGCGCUUGCCUUUGUCAUAAUUAUAGUUAGUUUAGUGACCAUCAACUCCUUUUCAGUGGAUUUAUAUCACUUUGCUUAUAUGGCAUGUGAUAGGCAAACACUUUGUUGAUAUAAUUUUGAACUAUGCUAGAUGAUGGAUAUUGAAUGUUAAAGUAGUUAAGUGAUAGUAUUUUAUAUGUUUUUGUACUCUAAUGAAAGUGUAUGAAAUGGUAGGUAAAUUUACUUGACUUUUAUGAGGUAAUUAAGAAUGAUUGAGUUAUGUAAAAUGGCAUGAAAAAGGUGUUUAUGGUAUUUUUGGAGGUUUGUUUAGGCAUGUUAUGAAAUGGUACAAUUACUUGUGAAAUUGGUUGAGAGAUAAGCUUGAAAUAGGUCAUUUUUGGGCACACACGACCUGGGACACGGACUGUCACACGGCCUUGUGAUGUACACGAGCAAUCCACAUGGGCGUGUUGAAAAAUAGUAUAGGUAUAGUUCUUGCACGGGCUACGAUACGACCGUGUGAGGAUACUUCGAAUGGUAUACGGGCUGACACAUGGCCUACGACACGGCCGUGUGAUCCAAAUCAGAGAGUUACACAAUCUAUACACAUGGGUGUGUGAGGUUGAACACUGGUCUCUGGGAUAGCCACAUGGCCAUGUCUGGAGCCACAUGGUCUGGGCUCUGUCAGACGGCCAUGUGACUCCUAUUUUGAAAUUUUCCAUUUUUGUCCCAAAUUUUCUAUUUUGUCUUGAAUUGGUCCCUGAUUGUUUCUAAACUAUUUUUAAGUCCUCCAAGGCUCGAUUUAAGGCCCAUAAAUGUAUGUAUUACCCUGACCUGAAUUGCUAUGAAAUUUUGUUAAUUAAAUUGGAAACUUGAUGCUUUUUGUUAUUGAUUGUUCUGGAUUGUACGGUAAUACACCGUAACCUAAUCCGAUAACGGGUACGGGUUAUGGGUGUUACAAUGCUAUAUAAUCAUGCUUAACAUUUAGCUUCCAUUCUUAAAUCACUAAUCAAUCUACUAUGUCAAUUAGUCUAAUUGAUAGCUUUAACAUGCCAAAUGAUUCAUAGGUGAGAUUAUCAUUUUUGUAGAAUUAAACUUAGUCAAAUCAUGUACCAAUUACCUUACAAGCCAUGCCAAACAUUCAAAUUUGAACAUUACCAUUAAACUAUCAACUCAAAAUGAAUUUAUGCAUACUAAGAGCCCUUAUGUACAUGCCACAAAGUCUAUACUCAAAUUGAACAUAUAACUACCAUAUUGUUGAUAGUGUAUGCUUUACGUUGAUCCGGCUCGGUAGGUUCCGAAAGGUGACAAUCUACAAGGAAAGGAAACAACUAGAGUAAGCAUACAAAAUGCUUAGUAAGUUCAAAUGGAAUUAUCAUACUUACCUUGAUCAUUAUAAGUAUAAUAUCUACUAAUCAUUUUGGCAUUCACCGUGACUAUCAUUAACAUAUAAUGAUAUAACUAGACACAUAUAAACAUUGUCAAUCAAGUAUGUUAAUCAUGUUUUCAUAUCAAAAUUAAUAUCAAUACAUUAAGGAAAUCACAUAUCUAUCACAUAUAAGAUAUCAUGCAUAUACUAUCUCAUUUCAAAUUCACAUUCAGGUUUUCCGGUUCCAUUCAAUUGAAUAUCGCCCGAUGGAAUUAUAGUAAAAUAGACUCAGAUAUACAGGGUGAAUAAGUUGCUCACACAAGUUGGCAUUUUAUCAGGGUUGCUCACACAAGCUAACAUUUUAUCAAAGUUUUUUACACAAGCUAACUUAUAUUAGGUUACCCAUCCGAGCUAAACCUAAAUUACAUUUAACUCGAGAAUCUGCAACAAAUGCUAGACCUCAUUAUAACCAAUAAGAAAUUCAUUGUUAGUUAGUUUUAUUUUUAGACUGUUUAUAGCAAUCCGAUUAGCAAUAACUAAGUAUAGGUCCAUUUGUGACGCUCUAUACUCGGAUCCAGUGGAUGUGUCGUACGUGGGGUAUUACAUAAAUUAUACAUUAAUGUGAUAUCAAUGAUGAUUGUGUAUAUAAAUAUAAGUGCUUAUAAGAUAAGUAUGUAUGGAGAUGAAUGAUGGUGUAGUUUGCAUAUGGUUCAUGUAGGUACAUGUUUGAAAUUGUAUGUUUUUGUAGCAUAAUGUUUAUAUUUAUCAUGUUUGGAGGUGGUAUAUUUAUCAUGUUUGGAGGUGGUUUAGUAUUGUAUGUUUUAAACUUGGUUUUUGAUUCCUAUAAGUCAAUGUUUUGGUAUUGAGAUAUUAGGUGUCCAAACAAGCGAGUUUUAAGGUAAUUUUUGGGUCAUGGCAUAGAGGUAUCAAUACUUGGACCCUAUGAUAUCGCAACAAGUCAAACAUAAUGUCAAGUUCUACAGUGCUAAGGACUUGUAUCAGUAUAACUGGGAACUUGUAUCAAUACCACAGUGUUUGAUCAAGUCCUUAUACUAUUUGGAACUCUUUUGAUCUAUUAAGGCUUGUUUUUUUUUUUUGUCUUGGACACCUAAAAAUAGUUUUAAAUAAUUUCAACAUGGUUUUAAAGUCUUAAAAUUAAUUGAUCUAUUUUCUAUGAUUUUUAUAAAAUGUUUUAAAGAUUCUACUUCCUAACUUAAUGUAAUGAAUGGUAGAUCGUGAGAUAGUUGUUAUCAAUCUAACUUGAUUCAAGACAAACAUGAGUUCUCAAAAAAUUAUUUAGAAAGUUCUGUCAGCUACUGACAUCAGAAUCUAAGAAUUUUCCCAUUACAUUCCCGAGAUUCUUCGCUGGACUUUCUGAAGCAAUCCUCGGCGGCAAGUCGUGUACAUGAACCCAAAAAUCUAUGAGCAAGAAUUCCACAUCCUUCAUAUUUUCCCCUUUUGAAAGCUGACGAAUAAGGAAGCCAUGUGCCUCCAAAGAUAAUCUCCUCCAUAUCAAUCAUGUGAGAAAAAUGAAUCAAGUAAAGCUCAGCAUCUCCAAUUGACUUAAUACUCGCCCCUUGUAGUGGCUUCCAUAAAGAGAGACGAGUUGUCACCAUAGUAGCAAAAUUGAUAACCCUUUGGCUGAGUAAUUUACCCACAAAGCAGAGAUCGGAAGCUGCAAUGAACUCCUCACAAUCAAGAAGUAAUUCUUUAUCUUCAUUUUCUUAAAUUGUUGUAUUCUGAAAGUCCAACUCCAUAGUAGAAAAGAGAAAUACGAAACAAAGAAAAAAAAAA